RNAcentral lists this long non-coding RNA (51696 nucleotides) under Vitis vinifera (wine grape). Its description in RNAcentral is "long non-coding RNA (VVIN_LNC006561)". The record is from RNAcentral. Lineage: Eukaryota; Viridiplantae; Streptophyta; Magnoliopsida; Vitales; Vitaceae.
UUUUUAAUUAUUAUUUAAAUUUAUUUUCUUGUUAUUUUAUUCCUUUUCAUUUAUUAUUAUUAUUAUCAUUUUUCAUUUCUUAUCCUCCAUUCAUUUUCUUUCUUCCCCAUUCAUGCCCACUUCUCUCAUCCUCUUUUUCUUUCAUCUUUCUCUUUCAUUUUCUCUUUGUUACUUCCUCUCCUCCCUUCCCUCACCGACGCCAUACCCACGACUCCCAUCUUCACCAUUGUCGCUCUCCUCACCAUUAGCCACUAAUCUGACCAUGUGCCACCCUAGCCCCUGUCUAUCUUUCUCAUUCUUUUUUUCUCUCUUUAAACCUACCCUCACUCAACUCACCUAUCUCUAUCUCUAACCCUAAUCUUCUUAUUUUUUCUAUUUCCUUCUUGAUCAUUCCCUAUGCUUCGACAAUGAAUUGGAGAAUCAAAUUAUCAUCCUCCAAGUGAGACGAGGCUUCCUGUUGACACUUGGUUCGACUCUCACAAGACCAUCGCCACCAUUUGCACCGCAUCCAUUACUUAGUUUUUCCUCUAGGGUCAUUAAAACUUGGUAAGUUUUCCUAUUCUAAUCUCUACAGUAACUGUUUGUAGACUUGGGUCCCUUUUUGGGCUUAGCUUUUGGUUUUGCAUAUAAGAUUUGGGCCCCUGUUUAGUUUAGGCCUCCAUUUGGGUUAGGUUGUUAAUUUGGGUCAAAUUAUUGGAUUAUUGAGUUUUGUUUUUGGGCCAUGAUUUGAGCCCUAAUUUGUUUAUACAUCUCAUUACCAUCUCUGGUACAUGGGCUUUCACCUCUCUCUCCUUUCCUCUCUCUUUGGUCUUGUAUGGCUUGAAUGAUUGAGAGGUGACAAUUGGAAGUGACAAGAUAGACAGAGGCGACAUAUUGAUAGCAAGAUGACUUUAUGGGAAAAAAAAAACAGCUCUACAAGUUUUCAUGAAGAUUUUUGUUUGGGGCUUUUGACUAUUUAUUUAGGAUGAGAAACAAAAUGUAAAGAGGGAAUGGGGAAAAAUGGGAGAUGGUUCUCUCUUGGGGGGUCUGGUUUUCAGUGUGUUUUUAUUUUUUUAUUUUUUUAAUAAGUGAGAAAGAGUACUUAGAAUACUAAGGAUUUCACCCUGAAUCUGCUUGAGAUUAUCUUGCCGUGUCUAGGUACAUCUCGAUCCCUUCCAUGUGUUUAUUUUAAUUUCUUUGUUUCAGUUUUGUAAACUCAGUUUGUAUAUAUUGAUUUUUGAUUGGUUGGUCUUGUUUGAUUCAUUUCCAAUCAUAUAUACUAAGUUGUAGAGUUAUUCGUUUGUCUAUUUAAUGUUUACUGUUUAUUAUUAGUAUUUUUUUUUAUUUUACUCAUGUGACUAUCUUUUGUUCAUUAUUUAUUAUUAUUAUUAUCAUUAUUAUAAUUAUUAUUAUUAUUAUUAUUAUUGGAUAAAGUGAAAUUUGAAAUAAAUUUCUUUUUUAGGUAAAGAUAAAACUUGAAACCUUUUUUUUAUUAAAUAGAAAAUGAUUUCCUAUUUGACACAUGGUAAAGUUCCCUUUUCAAUUUUUAUUUUAUUUUUAUUAAAAUCUGAAUUUCUUUUUUUCUUCCAAAAAUUAAAUCCAAACAACUUUUAGAAAAAUAAUAAAUUUAAAAUCAUUCCUUUUUAAUAAAACCGCAACAUUGAUUUUUUUUAGAAAAAAGAAUUGUGAAAAGCAUUUUUUUAAAAAAAUCAAAAUCGAGAAUCUUUCAUAAAAAAGAAGAAGAAAAAAGUAAAUAAAUAAGUGAAUUGUGAAAAGCUUUUUUUUUAAAAAAAAAAACCAAAUCGGAAAUCUUUCAAAAAAAAAAACAAAAAAAAAAAAGAAAAAAAGAAAAAAAUGUAAAUAAAUAAGUAAAAUUUCCUCUUUAAAUGAUCAUAUAAAAUCUUAUAGAUAAAAUAGAGAAUUUUUUUUAAUAAUCCGAAAAUUGUGUUGUUAAUAAAUUGAAGACUCUUUUGUUAAUUGACCUUAUCUUUUUCCUUUUUCCUUUUCUUAAUUUGUUUUUUUUUUAUCACAAAAUCAAAACGACUUGCAAAAAUCCUUUUAAAUAAAAUUAAUAAAUACAAAUAAAAUAAAAUUCUUUUUAAUAAAACCAUGAGACGAUAAAAAUCCUUUUUUUAUUUCUCUCUUUUUUUAUUAAUAAAAAAUUAUAACUUUUUGAUUAAAAUGAAAAAAAAAUUAUAACUUUUUGAUUAAAAUGGAAAAAAAAAAAACCUGUUUUGUAAAUUGGUUAAACUAUUUGAAUAAAUUUUACUUAAUCCCAAAAAUAAUAAAAUCACUUUAUCAAAAAGAUUGAAUUGAAGGAUAUUUUGUAAAUAAUUUCAUAAUUUUUUUCCUAAUAAAACCUUUUCUUUUAUAAUAAAAUCAAAUGGAAAUCACUCUUUUAUAAAUAAAUUGAUAAAACUUUUUCUUUUUUUUUUAAUAAAUAUCUCUUUCUUACAAACAAAAAUUCAAAAUAAAUUUAUUUUUUUUGUUAUUUCUUUUUUGUAAAUAGAUAUUUGAAGAAUAAAAAUUCUUUUAAUUAGGCAUACUGAUUUCUUAGAUAAGCUUGUAGAAAUCCUUUUGAAACAUAAAUUCUUUUAUUAAAAUUGUAAAUAAAAGUAAUUUUUAAUUCUGUUUUUAGAUGAUGUUAUGAAAAUGUCUUCUUUUAAUUAAAAUAAAAUUAUGUUAAAAUUAAAUUCCUAAUUUUUUUUGACAGAUAAAUAAAUAAAAUCCAUUUUUAAAAAAAAGUAAAAAUCCAAUUGGAAUCCUUUUUUAUUUUAUUUUGUUUUUAAAUAAUAAAGUUGAAAUCUUUUAAUAAAAUCCAAAUAGUUUGCAAAGUUCACUUAAUAAAAUCGAGAAACUUCUUUUUUAAGCCAAAUAUAGAGAAUUUCUUUUUAAUAUAUACAUAUUUUUUAAAACUAAAUUAAAGAUAAAAUAAAUCAUUUUGUUAAAAUAAAAAAAAUUAGAAUUCUCUUUUGUAAAAAUCUUUUUUACCAAUAAAUUUGAAUCAAAUUUUAAUAUUUUUAAAUAAUUGUGAGUCUUUUCCUAAAAAUAACAAAAAUCACUUUUAGUGUAAAUAAAAUUGAGUUGAAAUAUACUUUGUAGAUAAAUUUAUAUAUAAAAAAAUGAUGAUGAAAAAAAAAAAAUCUUCUUCUUUAAAUGAUUUUUAAAAAUCACUUUUCUUAGACAAAAAUUAAAUUAAAAUACUUUUGUAAAUGAAAUUGUAACAAUUUUCUUCUUAAUAGACAUAAUUUUUUUCUUUCCUAUAAAUAAAAUUGAAUCCACUUUCUUUCUUUAUUUUUAAAUAAAGUCUUUUGGCAACAAUAAAUGUAAAUAACUUCCUUGAAAAUUGUAUACAAAUAAAAUUGAAUAAAAUCAUUCAUUGAAAAUAAAUCAAAUUUUUUUUUUAAAUAAAUAAAUUGAAAUGGUUAAUUAAAAAUUAUUUUUAAUUAACUCUUGGGGAAUUUCAUAAAAAAGUGAUUUUUGAAACAUUUCUUUUAAUUAGUUAACUCAAUGUGCAUAAUUCUCUUGUUAUUUACUUUGUACAUUAUGAUAAUAUGCUUUUAUGAUUAUUUUCCUAUACAUUGAUUUGUUUCCAUAAUCUUGGUAUCCAGAUUAAUUAAUUGAUUGUCAUGAUUCCCUCAAUUUGUUUAGUAGAGACAGUAAGUAUAUGGGCUUAAAGGGGUGUUACGACGUUUCACCGUACCUUCCUGAUAGAUAACCUAACCCCGAAUCUAGAUUCAAUUUUUGCAAACACGUCUUUUCUAAAUAAGGGGUCACAUGAGGUUUUCUUUCUUAUUUUAUUUUUUAUUUUAAAAAUAAACUAAAAUAAGUGAUGACUCCAACUUUUAAAAAAAAAAAAAAAAAAUCAAAUUUUCACAAUAAAAAACGUGUCUCACCAUUUCAAGUAGGGACGCAUGUGAAAAAUGUUGGUCCAUAAAUUGGCAAUUCCGCUAGGGACUGAUGUUUAGAGAGUCAAACUUGAACUUGAGUUGAGGAAAAUGUGGUGUUUGAUUAAUCAAUCAGUGCAUACCCUCUCAUGGCACCUUUGUGAUAUAUUUACAUGUUUUAGGGCACCUGAGUGUUGACAUUGUGAUUAUUUUCUAUAUACUUUGGAUGUGCUUUAUUAUAUAUUAUUUCUAGUUAUCAUGUUCUUGUAUAUAUUUGCUCGUUUUUGUAUACAUCUGUUUUGUAUGAUUGUGUGCUGCAUGACUACCUUCCUUUUACAUGAUGCGUGAUUUGCUUAUCUAUGUGGAACACACAUGCAUCCCCUUACUCUGAUUCACAUAGCUUGGUCAGCCCUUCCCUUGUACUCAUACUUUUUGGAUGUAUUUGAGGCAUUUUCUUGUAUUCUUUCACUUCAAUUGUAUUUCCUCAUUCGAUUGGAUUGUAUUACUUGAUCGGGAAUAACCAUUUCUUUGUACUUUGUUUGCUCUUUGACUCAGCUAGUGAUUAGGAGUAGGAUCUAAUUUUGAGCUAUAUAGGAUUUGAAAGUUGCUUAGCUUCCAUUAGACUAGUGCCAUGUCAACGACACCAGUAUGGCUUAUUUAGUGCCAAAGCCACCUCAUUAGCACUACCAUUACCAUGCAACCUCAUUACCAUUGUCAUGCCAUGUCAUUAGCACUGUCAUGCCACCAUUUGAUCUUCAUUGAAAUUAUAUCAUCAAUGUUGAUGCCACAUCACCCAUUGUUGUAGCCAUGCCACAUCACUCAUUGUUGCGGUUUUGCCAUGUCGACUAUUUUUAUGAUUAUGCCACAUCAGUAUCACAUCACUGCCACACAAAGUUUGAUCCUUGAAGACCUGUAUAGCCCAACACUAGAUUAAGAUGCAUGUGUGACCAAUGUGUUUACUUUUUCGUUAUGGUUUGGUAGGAUGGUUGGAUGCACCCAAACACACUAUGCACCCCUAGAACGUCAUGGUGAAUGUGAGUUAUAAGGAGCAAUAAACCAACUAGAAACCUUCACCAUUAGGAAAUCCCCUAGGAUGUAAAGGAAGUGCAUGUGUGGAGGUGAUGACCAACUUGCAUGGAAGUGCCUUGUCUCUUCGGAGACGUGUCGGAGGUUGCAUACCCCCUGACAUUUACGAUCGCUCCUACUAGGGUACCUUUGAUCCUACCAUUUUAGAGUCACUUUUACCCUGUAGGAUGUGAUUACUACUCAAAAAGUGUUAUUUUAUAGCUUGUAAUUACUUUUUGAGUAGUAGUUAUUACCUUUUAACUCAAUUGGCAUGUUAAGGACCCUUGUAAUCAUUUCUAAUCAAAUUGUGUUAAUUUUUGGUGAUUUUGAUAGCUUUAUGAUCACCAAAGCAAUUUAAGAUUGAGGGAAAGCAAUUUAAGAUUGAGGGAGAGCUCUGUAUAAUCCAUGGCAAAGCAAAUGGAAGCUCAUUUACAAGAAGAAUCCAAGCUUUGGAGCUUCUUAGUCCUUUGCCAAAAGCAAAUCAAGAAUGCAAGGAGGAAAAACAAAGAGAGGAAUCUAACAUGAAGAAAUUCAAGAGGAUGGAAACUGUAGGACACAUUUCGAGCACUUCUUGGAGUCCAUUUUAUUCAUACUAUAUGUCAUUUUGAAGCUCGUGAAGUCAAGAGUCCAACACUUCAAACGGUGUAUAAAUCGAAGUUGAAAUGAAGAAGUUAUGGCCAUUGGAAGACAAUCACACCAAGCUGAAAGGCAAUUUCGCAAGCUGCGAAAUCACAAAGUGCUAGCUACGAAAUCAACAUUUUCUUGCGAAAUGGAGACUUUCAGCUUGCAAAAUUUUCGCAGCUCAUUUUGCAAGCUGCGAAAUCCACCUGUGUGCUUCCAGAUAUUUGCGACCGACUCUUUUAGAUUUUUCUUCAGAUAUUUGUUGUUUAAAUCCCCAUUUUCUCCUUGUAAUCCACUAAUCCUAGGAUUCCUUAGUUAGGAAGUAAGAAGAAAGGGUGAAUAACCUCCUAUAUAUAUUUUGUAAUUUUCUUUCUACAAAUAUCUCGGGAGCUUGUUCUCAGAGACCAACUUUUGUAUAGUUUUGAAGAAAGUAAUACACAGAGCUUUGCUUUGCCUUACAUACUCAUUUUGAUUAUAUUUUUUUCACUAGCCAAACAAGCUCUGAGGAUGUUUCCUCAGAGAAUGAGUGGCUAGGCUUUUUGUCUCUUGGAGUUAAGGAACCUGGGUAAGGUACCGAAUGCAAAAAUUGGAAGUUUUGUUGUUUUAGCUUUUAAUGAAGAGAAAGUGUGACCCGUUAAUGGUUUCUAUGUUUUUAGUUAACUUAAAACGCCUUAAAAUCACCUGGGCCAACACUUGGUAAGACUAGUGAUCUCCAUCCAUUGAGAUACACUAGUUUAUCUCUUGCGAGCCUUUGGGAGGCGGUUCAAAGGUAGGAUUUUCUAGAAUAGCCAACACUUGGUAAGCUUUUGGACUCGAAGGAGACAUCCAUUAGUUGUCUCUUGCGAGCUUUUGAAGGGUAAUCGAAGGUUAAGGAUCACCUUGAGUGGCAAAUGCUAGGUGAGAGGUAUGAGCCAUUGCAAGAUGAAUCGCAAGAUGAAUCAAUGAGAGGGAUUUAGUGUUUGAAUCCAUAAAAGGGAAGCAUUUGUACCACACCGGUUCGGGAAAUAACUAUAUGUUAAAUCCCCAAUGUGAGGAAAAGAUUCAAGUGACCGAAACUCUAUUUUUGUAAUAGGAGCCUGACCCUAGUGAUCCAAAAACUCCAAGAAACACCUUUCUUUAUAAGUAAUUUCAGUUACUAUUUUUGGUUAGUUUAAAACCAACCAUUUUUCAACCAAAGUUUAUGUUUUCUUUUACAGCUAACCUUGAAAUGAAAAAGACACCAAUUCAACUUUGAAUUAAUAUCAGUUGUAAUUUGAAAACCCUUUCCAAUGAACGAUCUUAGAGCCACUAUGCUAUGCUUGUUGAGGCUAUCCUAGUACAUAGUGAAAUAAGUUAUAAAUUUUGUUGAUUACUCCCGUCUGAGGACCAAAAUCAAGGUACACUAGUUGAUUGAUCACCAAUCAACAAGACAUACACCAGUUGGGCACGAAAAUCAAAUGGCGCCGUUGCCGGGGAAGGUGCCAACUUUACAGUGAUAUCAUCUUUUCAGAGUACUUGUGAUUUUCAUCACAAGUUUGGUGAUUUUUCUUUCAUCAUACUAACUCGUUUUAAUUGUUUCUUCUACUUGUUCAUAUUUUAGCAUACCUUCUAAUUUAGUUUUAGUUAAUCUUAGUUUUUUUUUUUUUUUUGUAGUUUUGUUUUCUUCUGUUUCUUUGUUUUUAUUACAGUUGAUACUAGUUGUGUAUGCCAAAUUGGAUACGAGACAGUGGAAGAAGGCUUGUGAAACUUGAAACACCUCAUAAAAAGGAGUUGAAAUUGAGCUUGAACAUCAUGGAAGCUACACCUGAAGAUCAGCAUAGUCACCAUGGUCACCAGGACAAUCCCAAUGCAUUUAGAUCAAUGAGGGACCACAUGCAUCCACCUCGUAUGAGUGCACCAUCAUGUAUAGUGCCCCCUACAGAGCAGCUAGUAAUUAGACCGCAUAUUGUUUCGCUUCUACCUACUUUCCAUGGGAUGGAAAGUGAGAAUCCCUAUGCACAUAUCAAGGAAUUUGAAGAUGUUUGUAAUACAUUCUAAGAGGGAAGAGCUUUGAUCGACUUGAUGAGGCUAAAACUAUUUCCUUUUACUUUGAUGGAUAAGGCCAAGAUUUGACUUAAUUCUUUAAGGCCAAGGAGUAUCCAAACUUGGACUGAUUUGCAAGCUAAAUUCCUCAAGAAAUUUUUCCCUACUCAUAGGACAAAUGACUUGAAAAGACAAAUUUUAAACUUCUCAGUUAAAGAGAAUGAGAAAUUCUAUGAGUGUUAGGAGAGAUAAAUGGAAGCCAUCAAUGCUUAUCCUCACCAUGGUUUUGAUACAUGGCUAUUGGUGAGUUACUUUUAUGACGGAAUGUCUUCCUCAAUGAAGCUACUCCUCGAGACUAUGUGUGGAGGAGAUUUCAUGAAUAAGAAUAUGGAGGAAGCCAUGGACUUCUUGAGUUAUGUGGCUGAAGUUCAAGGGGAUGGGAUGAACCGAACAAAGGCGAAGUAGGGAAGACGAAGUCUUAACCAAAUGCCUUUAAUGCUAAGGCUGGGAUGUACACCUUGAAUGAAGAUAUUGAUAUGAAAGCAAAGGUUGCAGAUAUGACGAGAAGAUUGGAGGAGUUAGAACUGAAAAAGAUACAUGAAGUGCAAGUUGUUGCUGAGACACUAGUGCAAGUCAAGCCAUGUCCUAUUUGUCAAUUGUAUGAGUACUUGGUGGAGGAGUGCCCUACAAUUCCAGCUGCUAGGGAAAUGUUUGGAGAUCAAGAAAAUGUCAUUGGACAAUUCAAGCCCAACAACAAUGCUUCAUACGGAAAUACUUACAACUCAAAUUGGAGGAACCAUCCAAAUUUCUCCUAGAAGCCAAGAGCACCUCAGUAUACACAGCCAACUCAAGCAUCUCAAUAAGCUUCAAAUCUUGAGCAAGCAAUAGUGAAUCUAAGGAAGGUCGUGAGAGAUUUUGUGGGAGAUCAGAAAUCCAUCAAUGCUCAACUCAGUCAAAGAAUUGACAGUGUAGAGAAUACAUUGAAUAAAAGGAUGGAUGGAAUGCAAAAUGAUUUAUCUCAGAAGAUAGAUAGUCUCCAAUACUCAAUCUCAAGGCUCACUAACCUUAAUAUAGUGCAAGAGAAGGGGAGAUUUCCUUCUCAACCUCACCAAAACCCCAAGGGUAUCCAUGAAGUGGAAACUCAUGAGGGAAAGUCUUCACAGGUGAGAGAUGUUAAAACCUUGAUCACUCUAAGGAGUGGUAAAAAGGUUGAGCUGCCAACACCCAAGCCAUAUGUUGAGAAAGAGGAAGAAGAAGAAGAGACAGAGAAGAGGGAGGAAAUCAAGGGAAAUAAGAAAGAUAGUAGUGAAAGGAAAGAGGACCAUGAUUCAAUAGUGAAUGCAACUCUGGAGAAAGUACUUAUCAAGGGAGAUGUGAUGAAGAAACACACACCUUCACCUUUUCCUCAAGUUUUGCAUGGGAAAAAGGGAAUAAAAAAUGCAUCAGAAAUUUUGAAGUAUUGAGACAGGUGAAGGUCAACAUCCCAUUGCUAGAUAUGAUUAAACAAGUUCCAACUUAUGUAAAAUUCCUGAAGGACUUGUGUACUAUCAAAAGAGGGUUGAAUGUGAAUAAGAAGGCCUUUUUGAUUGAGCAAGUAAGUGCUAUCAUACAAUGCAAGUCUCCAUUGAAGUACAAAGAUCCGGGUUGCCCUACCAUUUUAGUCAUGAUUGGAGGAACUGUAGUGGAGAAAGCUUUGUUAGACUUGGGAGCAAGUGUGAAUUUGCUACCAUACUCUAUCUACAAACAAUUGGGACUUGGUGAAUUGAAGCCAACAUUAAUCACUCUAUCUCUAGCAGAUAGAUCAGUGAAAAUUCCAAGAGGGAUAAUUGAAGAUGUCUUAGUUCAAGUUGAUAAUUUCUACUACCCAGUAGACUUUGUUGUUCUUGACAUAGACCCAAUUGUCAAGGAAACUAAUUAUGUUCCUAUUAUCCUUGGAAGGCCAUUCCUAGCUACAUCAAAUGCAAUUAUAAAUUGUAGGAAUGGACUCAUGCAACUCACGUUUAGCAACAUGACAAUGGAGCUUAAUAUCUUCUACAUGUCCAAAAAGCCAAUCACUCUAGAAGAAGAAGAAGGUCCAGAAGAGGUGUGCAUCAUUGACACUCUAGUGGAGGAGCAUUGUAAUAAGAAAAUACAAGAGAAGUUAAAUGAAAGUCUUGGGGAUCUUGAAGAAGGGUUACUUAAACCCUCAGAUUUGCUUGCUGCUCUACAAGGUUAGAGGAGGAGAGAAGAAAUUCUACCUUUGUUCAAUAAAGAGGAGGCACAAGAAGCUGCUAAAGAGGAGACCCUAAAGCUCAAUCUGAAGCCCUUGCCCACGGAGUUGAAAUAUACAUAUCUAGAAGAGAAUAGAAAAUGUCCUGUUGUUAUAUCUUCAUCUCUUACUACUCCUUAGGAGGUCUGUCUACUUGAAGUUCUCAAGAGGUGUAAGAAAAUAAUAAGAUGGCAAAUAUAUGACUUGAAAGGCAUCAGUCCUUUAGUCUGUACACAUCAUAUAUACAUGGAAGAAGAAACUAAACCAAUUCGUUAACCUCAAAGAAGAUUGAAUCCUCAUGUGCAAGAGGUGGUGCGAGCUGAGGUUCUGAAGCUACUUCAAGCAGGUAUUAUCUACCUCAUAUCAGAUAGCCCAUGGGUGAGUCCUACUCAAGUGGUACCAAAGAAGUCAGGGAUCACGGUGGUGCAAAAUGAAAAGGGAGAAGAAGUUGCUACACACCUCACUUCAGGUUAGAGGGUGUGUAUUGAUUAUAGAAAAUUGAAUGCUGUGACAAAGAAGGAUCAUUUUCCAUUGCCAUUUAUUGAUCAAGUGUUGGAGAGAGUCUCAGGCCAUCUUUUUUAUUGUUUCUUAGACGGUUACUCCGGGUAUUUUCAAAUAGAAAUCAAUGUUGAAGAUUAGGAGAAGACCACCUUCACAUGUCCAUUUGGAACAUAUGCCUACAAAAGAAUGCCUUUUGGUUUAUGCAAUGCACCUGCAACAUUCCAAUGAUGUAUGUUAAGUAUCUUUAGUGAUAUGGUGGAGCGAAUUAUGGAGGUUUUCAUGGAUGACAUCACCAUAUAUGGAAGUACAUUUGAAGAAUGCUUAUUUAACUUGGAAGCGGUUCUGAACAGAUGCAUUGAAAAGGACUUGGUGCUCAACUGGGAGAAAUGCCAUUUUAUGGUACAACAAGGAAUUGUCCUUGGCCACAUCAUCUCCGAGAAAGGCAUUGAAGUUGAUAAAGCAAAGGUGGAACUUAUUGUCAAAUUGCCAUCCCCAACAACUGUAAAAGGAGUAAGACAAUUCCUUGGCCAUGCAGGGUUCUACAAGAGGUUUAUAAAUAAUUUCUCUAAGCUUUCAAAGCCUCUUUGUGAACUAUUGGCUAAGGAUGCUAAAUUUGUAUGGGAUGAGAGAUGUUAAAGGAGUUUUGAGCAACUGAAGCGAUUUUUGACAACGACUCCAAUAGUGAGGGCUUCUAACUGGCAACUACCUUUUGAAGUGAUGUGUGACGCCAAUGACUUUGCUAUAGGAGCUGUUAAAGACAAGAUGGAAAGCCCUAUGUGAUCUACUAUGCAAACAAGACAUUGAACGAAGCGCAAAGGAACUCCAUAACCACAGAGAAAGAAUUGUUAGCUGUAGUGUUUGCCUUAGACAAGUUUCGUGCUUAUCUAGUAGGGUCUUUCAUCGUUGUUUUCACUGACCAUUCAUCCUUGAAGUAUUUAUUAACAAAGCAAGAUGCAAAAGCAAGGUUGAUUAGAUGGAUCCUCUUAUUACAAGAGUUCAAUCUCCAAAUCAGAGAUAAUAAAUGAGUGGAGAAUGUGGUAGCUGACCACCUUUCAAGGUUGGCUAUAACACAUAAUUCCCAUGUUUUACCUAUUAAUGAUGACUUUCCAGAGGAAUCACUUAUGUUGCUAGAAAAUACUCCUUGGUAUGCUCAUAUUGCUAACUAUCUAGUUACUAGUGAAGUUCCAAGUGAGUGGAAAGCGCAAGAUAGUAAGCACUUCUUUGCAAAGAUUCAUGCCUACUAUUGGGAAGAACCUUUUCUUUUCAAGUAUUGUAUAGGUCAAAUAAUAAGGAAGUGUGUUCCUGAAGAAGAGCAACAAGGAAUCCUUAGUCAUUGCCAUGAGAGUGCAUGUGGAGGCCACUUUGCCUUUUAGAAAACAACCAUGAAGGUGUUGCAAUCAGGUUGGCCAUCACUCUUCAAAGAUGCCCACACCAUGUGUAGGAGCUAUAAUAGAUGCCAAAGGCUUGGGAAGCUGACACGAAGAAAUCAAAUGGCUAUGAACCCCAUUCUAAUAGUUGAUCUCUUUGAUGUUUGGGGCAUUGACUUCAUGAGACCUUUCCAAAUGUCUUUUGGUAACUCUUACAUUUUGGUGGGAGUAGACUAUGUUUCUAAAUGGGUUGAGGCAAUCCCAUGUAAACACAAUGAUCAUGGAGUUGUUCUCAAGUUUCUCAAAGAGAACAUCUUCUUAAGAUUUGGGGUGCCCAAGACCAUAAUCAGUGAUGGGGGUACUCAUUUUUGCAACAGGCCUUUUGAAACCCUUUUAGCCAAGUAUGGGGUGAAGCAUAAGGUAGCUACACCUUAUCACCCUCAGACUUCCGGACAAGUUGAGUUAGCAAAUAGGGAAAUCAAGAAUAUAUUGAUGAAGGUGGUAAACACGAGCAGAAGAGAUUGGUCUAUUAAGCUCCAUGAUCCACUAUGGGCAUAUAGAACAACUUACAAGACUAUUCUUAGCAUGUCUCCUUAUCGCCUAGUCUAUGGCAAAGCAUGCCAUCUUCUUGUGGAAGUUGAAUAUAAGGCUUGGUGGGCAAUUAAGAAGGUAAAAAUGGACUUGACCAGAGCCGGGGCAAAGAGGUGCUUAGACCUUAAUGAUAUGGAGGAAUUAAGAAAUGAUGCCUACAUCAAUUCCAAAGUUUCAAAACAGAGGAUGAAGAAGUGGCAUGAUCAGUUAAUCUCCAACAAAGAAUUCCAGAAGGGAUAAAGAGUCUUACUCUAUGACUCUAGGCUCCAUAUCUUUCCUGGAAAGCUAAAGUCAAGGUGGAUAGACCCUUUUAUUAUUCACCAAGUGCAUCUCAAUGGAGUGGUGGAACUACUAAAUUCCAACAGCAUAAACACUUUUAAAGUCAAUGGCCACCGUCUCAAACCAUUCAUGGAGCCAUUCAAUCAAGACAAGAAGGAAGUUGACCUCCUUGAGCCACAGAAAUCCUGACCAAAAAGGGGUUAGAUGGAAUUGGUUUUGCCAAAGUCCAUGUUUUUGUUUUAAUUUUGUUAAUUUAAAAGUGUGGACCCCGCAUUUCAUGCUCAUGCGUUUCCCACUCGAAUGGCGAGCUCGAUUUUUAUUUGAAAAAUUGAUUUUAUUUAUUGUUUAAAAAAAAUGACUUGGAGUCGCCACUUAUUUUUGUUUUAUUUUUAAAGGGUAAACAAAAUAAGAAAGAAAAACCCUAAGUGUGACUCCUUAUUUUGGAAAAGGUGAUCUACGAAAAACCGGAUUGGGUUCGGGGGUCAGGUUACUUAUCGGGAAGGUACGGUAAAGACCGUAGCACCCCUUUAAGUCCCUAAAGUCGGGUCUCUACUAAUGAGAUGAAGCUGACAUGACAAUCAAUGAGAAAAUCAAUGAAUACUUUAAUCGAUCAUGCACAUAUGAGUAUCAGAAUAUGUAUAGAGAAUAACCAAAGUGGAAGUGGAUGCAUACCUGAUCAGCAAACGACAACACGCUAUCACAAAAUGAGGUUAGUGCAUAGUAAUGAAUAUAGAGUAUAUCACUCAUAUCACCCAAUCAACUAAAGGAGCACCAAUAUCAUGCAUGGUGUUACUUCAAUUCCAUUUUUAUUUUAAAAGAAAUUUAUUUGAUGUGGGGCCCCCCACCAAAGCCCGUUUUAUUUUUGCAUGAACUAAUUCCAUAAAUUCCAUAAUUUGGAAUUACGAAAUUUGAUUCUUGCUUAUUUUUAAAACAUAAAAAAAACGAGAAAGAUGCAGAAAAGAAUUGCCGAAGAGAAAAUGGCAAUCUGUUUUAUGGAGAAUGGGAUUUUGGGACCUAGAAACUUUGAGAAUGAAGUUAAACAUGGAGUUGGAAUUAUUUAAAGACUAAAACCCAGAAAUUUAUUUGAAGAAAAGGACUUGGAAAAUUAUUUUUAAAAAGUUAAAGAUGGCAAAAUGGGAAAUGGCACUUAGAUCAAAGGUGGCCAUGCAAACACCUACCUCAGAGGUUUGACUGGAUGCAGACAUCUCACUGCAGUUACUGCAUCCCGAAGAUAUGAAACGUGUCUAAAAUUGAGAGACUCCGCUCCUUUGCUUCCUAACAAAAACUACCUCAGGAUGCGUAUAGACAACCCCAGAGACCAUAUCAUAGUCCACAUGACCUUCUUUGCCUGCUAUCACCUCUACACAUGCCACCUCAUCCUCCUCUGCCUUGUGAGUUAACAUGGAACCUGGAAUCAAAGCCGCUCUGAGCUAGUGAAGCUACUGGAUGCUGUUGAAAUCCUUAAUUUGGGCAGCACCUGAAAUCAUCACAAGAACAUCUCCAUUCCAAAAUUCCUGGAAAUUUGCUGCCUUGAUUUCAACGCCGGUGUAAUUGAGUGACAUGACAAGUGCAUGGCUUUGCAUUUUAGAUACCACUCUUCUUAUUCAAACCCUUACAUUCUCCACAUGCUAGUCGCGAGCUGAGUCCACUAACAAAAUGUUUUCAAUCAAACCAAGUUGGAAUAAUCUUCUCUUGAUUACUCAAUUAAUAUUAGAGAAUACAUUCCAUCGAGGUACAUUUGAACACAAAUAGAGACGGCGAGAUGUGAAUCCAUUUUCAGAAAUUGGGGCAUGGACCUGAAGCAGAAAUUAUAUUGGCAUUUGACAGAUAUCUCACACGUCAUAUCUUCCUGAAGAUAAAUUAAUGGGAUUCAGCCAUGUAGAGGUAGAAUAGUGUUCCCUUCACUUUGCUUCUUCAAUAACGAGAAAAUCAUCAUCAUCAUCGCUAUCAUCUUCACUCUCUGCAUCCUGAUGUUUGGCAGUCUUUAGGUCUUUCUCAAUGACACGCAACAUCCGAAGCAGUCCAUCAUCCGUGACUUCAUCACAGAAAUAUUAAAAAAAACCUGCUCAAGGGCAGACCGCAUUGGAGUUGAUGACUCUGGCAACAAUGAGAGUGAUAUUGUAUCUUUUGAAGGCUUGGUACAACAUGUCAUGUCUUGGAGGUGCAUGAAUCAAAUUCUUCCAGGAAGCAUUUGUUAGAUUAAUUUUUUGUAAUUAAUCUAUAAUUUGGGCCACACAUGUAAAUAAUUAAAAUGUGUGUGCUAUCAUUUAAUUAAGCCUAAAUAUAGUGAUCUAAUUAAUAAUUGAUUAAUUGGCUUAAGGGUAUAAUUGUCAUGAGAUUAUUGUAUAGAUACCAUUAGAUAAUUAUUAUUUCUAUGAGGGGCAGAAAUAUAAUUGUGAUAAAAUUAAAAUUGCCCUAGCAGUUUAUAAAUAGGGUUAUGGUCCCCAUUCUACCACUACGCAUUCCAAUUUCUGAAAAUCCUCUCAAAGAGAAAUUGACACAGAAUCUAGUGGCUAGAAUUGGAAGACCAUCUCAAAGGGUUUUCUUCCUAUAAGGUUUCUCCUUCAAUGGAUUCAGGUAUGCUUCCGCAAUUAUUUUUCUACUCAUUUUUUUAAUCAGGAGAUUCCAGUAUAUAUGAAAUUAGGGUAUUCAUCUUGGUUGAUUUUAACAAGACUAUUCCAGUAUAUAUAAAUUAGGGUAUUCAUCUUGGUUGAGUUAUAACAAGUGGUAUCAGAGCCUACUCCUUGAUUAAUUCUUUGAGUUAUUAUUUUAAUAUAUAUAUAUAUAUGUCAAUGGAUUAAGAUUUAUGAAAUAUUGAGUUGAUAAUUUUUUUUUUAUUACUAUUAUUAUUAUUAUUAUUAUUAUUUAAUAGCAUUUUAUGAUAUUAAUAUUUAAGUUAUUGAUCUAGCAUUUUAAAUAGGCUAAUUAAAGCGGAAAAUCACCAAAGUGACAUCUUUCGUGUAGAUUAGUCUGUUCGGGGUGUUAGAUAUUUGUGUGUAUGUGAUUCAUGUGGGUAUUGAUUGGCCCAAAGGAAAGUUAAUAUUUGGCCAAAUUGCAUACAUACCUGUGGUGAUAAAUAUGUGAUGACUAUAAAGGUAACUUAAUGUGAAUAAUAAAUCAAUCCAAAGAUAGAUUUAUUAUUUGACAUAACUUAUCAUCAAUGUUUGAUCACUACAACAAGAGUACCACUUACAGUUAAUAUUAUUGUUCAAAGACUUGAUAUUAAUGUUGUGCUAGGUAUCUUGAAAUGUCAUAAUUUGCUUUUAAAUUUAAAGAUUAUGUGUUUAAUUGCUUAUUUUAUGUGAGCAUGAUGGUUUAUUUGAUUCAUUUUAUUUUGUUCUCGAUUCAGCUUUUAUAUCAACUACUUCUAUAUCUGCCAACAUCAAUAAUGUCCCUAUGUUAAAUGGGACUAAUUUUAAGGACUGGAAAGAGAAUAUGAUGAUUCUCUUAGGCUGCAUGGAUAUAGACUUAGCCUUGAGAAUGCCCAAACCCGAUGAACUCAAUGAGCAAAGUACUCAAGAGAAUGAGGUUUAUUGGGGUAAGUGGGAACGUUCAAAUAGGCUAAGUCUUAUGAUCAUGAAGCGCGGAAUUCCAGAAGCUUUCAGGGGUGCGGUAACCGAUGAGGUUACUAAUGCCAGUGACUUCCUUGCGGAAAUUCAUAAACGUUUUGCCAAAAACGAUAAGGUUGAAACGAGCACGCUUUUAGCAAGCUUGAUUUCAAUGAAGUAUAAAGGCAAGGGUAAUGUUCGGGAGUACAUCAUGGAGAUGUCUCAUCUUGCUUCAAAACUUAAGGCUUUGAAACUCGAGUUAUCUGAUGAUUUACUCAUGCAUUUGGUUCUCAUCUCUCUUCCUGCACAAUUUAAUCAAUUCAAGGUCAGUUAUAACUGUCAAAAGGAUAAAUGGACUCUUAAUGAGCUCAUUUCAUUCUGUGUGCAAGAGGAAGAGAGAUUGAAGCAAGACAAGACCGAAAGUGCUCAUCUGGCUAGCACUUCCAAGGAUAAGGGCAAACGAAAGAAUAAGGAUAAUAAGGUUGCUGCUUCUAAUGGCCCAGAACAAAAGAAACAGAAAGUUGAGGUAACAUGUUUCUUCUGUAAUAAGCCUGGAUAUACUAAGAAGGAAUGUACCAAGUAUGCUGCUUGGCGUGUUAAGAAAGGUAUAUUUCUUACUUUGGUCUGUUCUGAAGUUAAUUUAGCUUCAGUAUCUAGAAACACAUGGUGGUUAGAUUCUGGUGCUACUACUCACAUUUGUGUUUCUAUGCAGGGUUGCCUGAGUUACCGAAAACCAAGUGAUGCUGAAAGAUGCAUCUAUGUCGGAGACGGUCAGUCGGUAGAAGUAGAGGCAAUAGGGCACUUUAGAUUAUUAUUGAAAUCUGGUUAUUUUUUGGAUUUAAUAGAUACUUUUGUUGUACCGUCUUUCAGACGGAAUUUAAUUUCAGUUUCUGUUUUGGACAAAUAAGGUUAUUGUUGUUCAUUUGGAAACAAUAGAUUUGCAUUAUCUAUUAAUUCAAAUGCUGUAGGAACCGGUUUACUUAAUGUUUAUGAUAAUCUAUAUUUGUUGGAAACUGUUCCGUCCUAUAAUGAAACCUUGCAUGUGGAAUCACGAGGUACAAAACGUAAAUUGAAUAAAGAUAAUUCAGCCUCAUUGUGGCACAAACGCCUAGUCAUAUCUCUAAAUCUAGAGUUGAGCGACUUGUGUCCGAUGGGAUUUUGGAUUCACUUGACUUUUCAGAUUUUGAUAUUUGUGUUGAGUGUAUUAAAGGAAAACAUACCAAAACAAAGAAAUUAGGUGCAAAUAGAGCUACAGACGUCUUAGAAUUAAUUCAUACAGAUAUCUGUGGACCAUACCCUACGGCAUCUUGGAAUGGUCAACAACACUUUAUAACAUUCAUAGACGACUAUUCAAGAUAUGGCUACCUAUUUCUUAUACAUGAGAAAUCACAAUCAUUGGACGUGUUCAAAACAUUUAAAGCAGAAGUUGAGUUACAACUCAACAAAAGAAUAAAGAGCGUCAGAUCUGACCGUGGUGGUGAAUACUAUGGUAGAUAUGACAGAUCAGGUGAACAACGUCCAAGACCAUUUGCUAAAUACCUAGAGGAAUGUGGGAUCGUCCCUCAAUACACCAUGCCAGAAUCACCUAGCAUGAAUGGUGUAGCAGAAAGACGAAACCGAACCCUUAAGGACAUGGUAAGGAGUAUGAUUAGUCAUUCUACUUUAUCCGAAAAACUCUGGGGUGAAGCACUCAAAACAGCAGCUUGUAUCCUAAAUCGGGUGCCAACUAAAGCGGCUGCUAAAACGCCUUAUGAGCUUUGGACGGGUCGAAAGCCCAGUUUAAAGAAUUUUCAUAUUUGGGGAUGUCCAGCCGAAGCGAGACCUUAUAAGCCUCAUGAAAAGAAAUUGGACUCUAAAACAGUUAGAAGCUACUUUAUUGGCUAUGCAGAGCGAUCAAGGGGUUUUAAAUUUUAUGAUCCUGCUAUUAGGUCAAUUUUUGAGAUGGGAACUGCAACAUUUUUUGAGGAUGUUGAGUUUGGGGGGAGAAAUCAGGCUAGGAAUAUUGUCUUUGAGGAGGAAGAGAGAUCUACUAUUGCUUUUGAUAAUGUACAGGUUUCACUACCUAUCAUUGAUCAAGAAGUAAAUUUGGAUCCUCAACCAACAGACAAUAUUGUUCAACCCUUAAUUGCAAAUGAGGACAUUGCUCCUGAAGAACAAACUCAACAACCUCAAGAAAAUAUGCCAUUAAGGAGAUCCACUAGAGAGAGGAGAAAUGCAAUUUCGGACGAUUAUAUCGUAUAUCUCUAGGAACGUGAGGUAGAAAGUGGAAUGAAGGAAGAUGAUCCAAUCAACUUCCAGCAAGCCAUGAAAAGCUCCAACUCUCAGAAAUGGAUUGAAGCCAUGAAUGAAGAGUACAAAUCUAUGCAAGACAAUAAAGUUUGGGAACUUGUCCCAUUACCAGUUGGUACGAAGCCCAUUGGUUGUAAAUGGAUAUUUAAAACCAAGCGGGAUUCAAAUGGUAAUGUAGAAAGAUAUAAAGCAUGUCUUGUAGCUAAAGGCUUUACUCAAAAAGAAGGAAUUGACUUCAAAGAGACCUUCUCUCCAGUUUCUACGAAGGACUCUUUCAAGAUAAUCAUGGCACUAGUUGCACAUUAUGAUCUUGAGUUACAUCAAAUGGAUGUUAAAACAGCGUUUCUCAAUGGUGACAUUGAUGAAACAAUUUAUAUGGUACAACCAGAAAAUUUUGUAUCCGAAGACUCAAAGAAUAUGGUUUGUAAAUUAACUAAAUCCAUUUAUGGGCUCAAGCAAGCUUCUCGUCAGUGGUACUUCAAGUUUCAUCAAAUUAUUGUCUCAUAUGGUUUUGAGGCAAAUCUUAUGGAUGAAUGUGUGUAUCACAAAUUCAGUGGGAGUAAGUAUAUUUUCCUGGUUUUAUAUGUCGAUGACAUAUUGCUAGCCACAAAUGAUAUUAGCAUAUUGCACGACACCAAGAGAUUUUUAUCAAAACAUUUUGAGAUGAAAGAUCUUGGUGAUGCCUCCUUUGUCUUAGGAAUCCAGAUACACCGAGAUCGUUCUAGGGGUAUUUUAGGAUUGUCACAAAUGACCUAUAUUGAUAAAGUCCUCCAAAGGUAUGACAUGCAAAAUAGCAAACCAGGUGAUACCCCUGUCGCUAAAGGAGACAAAUUCAGUCUUAAUCAAUGCCCUAAAAAUAGUUUAGAAAGUCAAGAAAUGCAGAAGAUUCCUUACGCUUCGGCUGUGGGGAGUCUAAUGUAUGCUCAGGUAUGUACACGUCCGGAUAUUGCGUACAUUGUUGGCAUGUUAGACAGAUAUCUAAGUAACCCUGGAAUGGAUCAUUGGAGAGCAGCCAAGAGGGUUAUGAGAUACUUACAGAGAACAAAAGAGUACAUGCUUACAUAUAGGAGAUUGGAUCAGUUAGAGUUCAUUGGGUAUUCCGACUCCGACUUUGCUGGAUGCCAAGACAGCAGAAGAUCCACAUCAGGCUAUAUUUAUCUGUUGGCUGGUGGAGCAAUUUCAUGGAGGUCUGCCAAACAGACACUCGUAACUUCAUCCACCAUGGAAGCAGAGUUUGUAACAUGUUAUGAGGCAUCCAAUCAAGGAAUAUGGCUACGAAAUUUUGUCACUGGGCUGCGUGUUCUGGAUGGUAUUGAAAGACCACUGAAAAUAUUUUGUGACAAUAAAUCAGCAGUUUUAUAUUCCAAUAACAACAGGAGCUCUACAAAAUCAAAAUACAUUGAUAUUAAGUUCCUAGUUGUAAAAGAAAAAGUACAGAGUGGACAGAUAUCCAUAGAGCAUAUUGGAACAAACUCCAUGAUAGCGGAUCAACUUACAAAGGGAUUACCACCCAAGGUCUUUCAUGAGCACACUGCUCAUAUGGGUGUUGUCUCAUUUGAGGAUAUCCAAAUUUAGUGGGAGUUUAUAUUAUUCAUUGUAUAUUGCUCUAUGUUAUGUUUAGACUUUAUCUAUAAAUUUGGAUUGUGUUCUGCAGAAAUAAAGUAUUCAUUUUAUUGCACUCUGUUAAAUUAUGCUAAAGAUUUGAUCUCAAUAAAGUUAAGUAGGACCAGUUGGAAAUAGGCAUGAAUAGAUCAUAUUGCAUGUAAUUUCCAUGCUAUGCACUCAUGAUUGAUCUAUGUCAUUUAGCUGUGCAGAUAUAUGUGACCAUUGAUUGGUCUAGUAACGAUUGAUGUAACAAAGGCCACCUUGAUCCUAUGUCAGUAUAGUUAAUGGAUGAGAUUGUUCGGAUAUACCCUAAGGACAUGAUAGCAAAUUUUGAGCUCAUAAGGUUAAGCACAUUUAUUUGAUUACAUAUGCAUGUGGCCCAGUGGGAGAUUGUUAGAUUAAUUUUUUGUAAUUAAUCUAUAAUUUGGGCCACACAUGUAAAUAAUUAAAAUGUGUGUGCUAUCAUUUAAUUAAGCCUAAAUAUAGUGAUCUAAUUAAUAAUUGAUUAAUUGGCUUAAGGGUAUAAUUGUCAUGAGAUUAUUAUGUAGAUACCAUUAGAUAAUUAUUAUUUCUAUGAGGGGCAGAAAUAUAAUUGUGAUAAAAUUAAAACUGCCCUAGCAGUUUAUAAAUAGGGUUAUGGUCCCCAUUCUACCACUACGCAUUCCAAUUUCUGAAAAUCCUCUCAGAGAGAAAUUGACACAGAAUCUAGUGGCUAGAAUUGGAAGACCAUCUCAAAGGGUUUUCUUCCUAUAAGGUUUCUCCUUCAAUGGAUUCAGGUAUGCUUCCGCAAUUAUUUUUCUACUCAUUUUUUUAAUCAGGAGAUUCCAGUAUAUAUGAAAUUAGGGUAUUCAUCUUGGUUGAUUUUUAAUAAGACUAUUCCAGUAUAUAUGAAAUUAGGGUAUUCAUCUUGAUUGAUUUUAACAAGACUAUUCCAGUAUAUAUAAAUUAGGGUAUUCAUCUUGGUUGAGUUAUAACAGCAUUAGUCGGACCACGUGAAACAUCCAAGGCUGCACAUAACUCCAUCCCAGGCAGCUUUGCCUAGCCGCUUGACAUAAGGUCAAACCCACCUCAACGUUCAUGAUCUUAAUGAACUUGAAUGAUUAACCCCAUAUCCCGAAUCUGAGAUUUCUGGACCAGUUGAUCAAGAGCUCGCAGCAUGACUUUCGAUGCAAGUUCAGCAUCACAGUCAUCUCAAAUCGAAACCUUCUUCAAUUUUCUCCUCUUCUUGGCCUGCUUCGCUUCCCAUUACCAUGACUGUAUGUCUCGCAAAAACAGCAUGAAACCGAGACCUUCUAAGUCUUCUAGGUCAUUUUCUUCGUUAUCAAGCUGCCACCAUGUGUCACCCUUGAAGGCUCGCUCGUGGCUGUUGAUUUCAUAGUGUUUGUGGCUUCAUCUUCAUGACGAGUCUCAAAAUUCAAAUUGGAGAGAAACGACAGUCCGCUUGUUUGGUGACUUCAAUGUCCAUGCUGUCUCCCUUCCCGAAACCACUUCGUUGCCAUGCACCCAAAAUAUAGAAGAAGCAACACAGGCCCAAUGCAACAAAGAUGGAAGUAGCCCAAUACAUCUACCUUUCCAAAUGUGAGUGUUGAGGGAAACAACUUCUAGACCUGCGACACUCCGGUGAAGAAAGGCUGCCUAAGAACAUGGACCAACAGCCUCCAGAUGACCAGUGUUGACAAUGAGGGGGAGAGAUUGAUGUAGGUGAGUAAGGGUAGCAACACGCACGGGAUUUAAAGAAAAUAGGUUUGCAUGGAAGAAAAUUUGACGUGAAUAUGGUUGUGGGGUUAGCUAUGGUACAUGGAUAUGAUGAGUAGAUGAGGAAUGACAUGGUGCAUGGUGGUGUAGAGAGGGAAUGGUGAUAAUAGAAAUGGGUAUGAAAGCAUGUAGUGUAGAGAGAUAAGGCUUGGGAUCAGUGGAGAGAUGGCAUGGUGGAGGUGCAAACAAUUGACAAUGGAUGUUGUGGCAUAAGGUAUAUUAACUAUGGAGAAUAAGGCAUUGGGGUAAGCAAACUUAUAGAGAGAGAAGUGGGUUUAUGGGUAUGGUUAGGUUUAGAGAGAGAAAAGGUGGUGGAAGAUUAGUGAAGGUGUAAGGCUAUGGGCAUGAUGGUAUGGGAUUCCAUUAUGUAGAGACAAGAGUGUGGGCAUGGUGAGGAUCAUGCAGAUUAAUGGAAAAUGGUAAGAGGGGAAUGGAUGAUGAAGGCAUGAAAAGUUGUCUGCACAUGGUGAAACAGUGGGAGAAAAUGGAUUGGUGGGUAUGCAGUGUAUAAGAGGUCAAACCAGGAGACUGCCAUGUCCGGAGAUCCUCUGUCUUACUCUCUCUUAAACUUCCUGUCCUUCUCAACGACAAUGGAAUCCUUCUCCAUUUCAAUACCAGUCUUGGUGAUCAAUAAGUCCAUAGUCUCCUUACCAUGAGCACUUUUCAAUUCGAAGAGGCUAGGCUUUACAUGUUCAGAAUAUGCGAAAGGCGACCCUGAGGCAGAAAUGGUGCUGCAAAUGAUCCUCUGAGAUGCCUUGUAGGUCAAUUGCUAGAGCCUUGUCAUAGAGUUUCUGUACAAGCUUGCGGUUAACGAAUCUGUCACAUAUCAAAAGAUCCCAUGGAGAACAGAUAGCAGCAGCACCAACAAGAGGAAUAUUAACCCCAUCCUCUCCAAGAUAUUUCACCAGAACAUUGGCACCAAUGCUAGUUCCAACAGCAAAUAGAGGAGCCUCUGCUCCCCAAAACGACUCGACAUCACAUCAUCAUGCCUUGAGCGUAGGGAAAGAAAGUUGUCAUCACAGGCUUCUCAUCGCCCUAUUGUGACUAACAACCAUAUUUACUUGUUGUAUCAUCUCAUACUCUCCAUUUGAUAACCAAAACUGAGCACCCCCUUCAACCUGUAUAUCCUCUUCUCUACUCACCCUAGUAACAAAGCUUUGGAGAUGCAGACUGUACAGGAUGAUAAUGCAUGGCUUUCUCAAUAUGUGAACGCCGUAUUUCCGAUCAGAAAUCCCCAUAAACUGAACUCCUAGCUCUGAUAUUCAGCAUCAUCAACGUACCAAUAACAGGGAAACAAAAUGGAAGAAAAGGAGCCAAAACAAAAACAGGGGAAAGAUAAACGAGGAAAGAAAUAAAAACAUGAACGUAUUAAAGCCUCAUUUCAGGUGACAUCCAUGGGCUAAUACGGGUGAGGAGAUCCCAGACUAGAGUUACAAAAUAUAUGAGAAACAUGAUUCCAUUAACUCCAAGCCAAACCACAAAGAUAACAGCAAAAUUAGUAACAACAGGAAGGAAAUGAUCCAGAAAAUCAAGAGAUUCCAGCAUAUUAUCGAACCCAAACUGAUGACAAAUGCAAAGCAAACCAAAAUGAGAAGAAUAUGAAUCAAAGUAAGCAAGAAAAUCACCUCAAACUCACCUGCAGCUGCUCUCUACUCCUGUUCUCUCCUUCUUCAAGCUUCACCCUAAAAAAUCCAUGGAGCCAGCAAGCUACCUUUCCUGUAACUAGUAGUGAUUACUACUCAAAAAGUGUUAUUUGAUAGCUUGUAAUUAACUCUUUUAAACACUUUUGAGUAGUAGUUAUUACCUUUUAACUCGAUUGGCAUGUUAAGGACCCUUGCAAUCAAUUCUAAUCAAAUUGUGUUAAGUUUUGGUAUUUUGAUAGCUUUUUUAUCACCAAAGCAAUCCAAGAUUGAGGAGAGUUCUUUGGAAUCCAUGGCAAAGCAAUGGAAAGCUCAGAAACAUGAAGAACCAAAGCUUUGAAGUCCUUUGCCAUAAGCAAAUCCGGAAUGCAAGGAGGGGAAGCAAAGAGAAAUCUGCCAUGAAGCAUUCUUGAUGACAGUCAUGUUAGCCACUUUUGGAGCACUUCCUGGAGUCCAAUUUAUUUAUGCUAUAUGUCGUUUCGAAGCUCAGGAAGUCAACAAUCCAAUGCUUUAAACGGUGUGCGAUUCAGAGUUGAAAUGAAUGAGUUACAACCAUUGGAAGCCGAUCACUCCAAGCUGAAGGAAGAAUUUUGCACGGCUGCGAAAUCACCCUUUUGCUGCGAAAUGAUUUCGCAGCCAUUUUGCACAGUGCUAUGGAAUUUCUCCUGAAGUUUCCCGAUAUUUGCGACCGACUCUUUUAGAUCUUUUCUUCAGAUAUUUUUGUAUAAAUUUCCAUUCUUCUCCUUGUAAUCCACCAACCAUAAGAUUUCUUAGUUAGGAAGGUUGGAAAAACGUCUUUAUAUAUAUUCCCUUGCAUCCACUGUAAAAAGGAUAGAUAUAUAAAAAUAUAGAAUAUACAGAGCCUUGCUCUGUUUUUUCCUUCUCUUUCAUUUUCAUUUUCUUGCUAACCAAACUCUGAGGAUUUUUCCUCAGAGGAUGAGAGGCUAGGCUUUUCGCCUCUUGGAGUGAGGAAAGCCGGGUAAGUUUCCGCAUGCAUAAAUUGGAAGUUUUGUUGUUUUAGUUUUUAAUGAAGAGAAAGUGUGACCCGUUAAUGGUUUUUAUCUUUUUAGUUAACUUAAAACGCCUUUAAAUCACCUGGGCCAACACUUGGUAAGGCAAGUGAUCUCCGUCCAUGGAGAUUCAUUAGUUUAUCUCUUGCGAGCUUUUGGGAGGUGGUUUGAAGGUAGGAUUUUCUAGAAUAGCCAACACUUGGUAAGCUUUUGGACUCCAAGGAGACAUCCAUUAGUUAUCUCUUGCGAGCUUUUGACGGGUAAUCCAAGGUUAAAGAUCACCUUGAAUGGCAAGUGCUAGAUGAGAGGCAUGAGCUAUUGCAAGGUGCAUCAGUGAGAGGGAUUUAGUGUUUGAACCCAUUAAUGGGAAGCAUCUGUACAGCAUCGGUUAGAGAAUUAACUAUAUGUUAAUUCUCUAAUGCGAGGAAAAGAAACAAGUGACCGGAACUCCCUUUUUGUAUGAGGAAUCUGUGCCUAGUGAUCUGAAACUCCAAGAAACACUUUUCUUUGUAAGUAAAAUCAGUUACUAUUUUUGGUUAGUUUAAAAUCAAACCUUUUUUCAUUCAAACAUCUUUAUGUUUUCUUUUAAAGCUAACCUUGAAAUGAAAAGGCACCAAUUCAACUUUGAAUUAAUAUCAUUUGUGAAGUGAAAACCCAUCCCAGUGAACGAUCCUAGAGCCACUAUGCUAUAGUAGCUUUGUCUUUGCUACCCUAGUUCAUGGUGUAAUAGGUUAUAAAUUUUGUUGAUUACUUCCUCAAUCAAGGAGCACUAGCUGGACAUGAAUCAGCUGAUACACCAAGUGGGCACGAAUCAAGUAGCCUUUCCAGAAAAGGUACUCUCCAGUUCCUCUCACUUCCUCCUUCUUCAACUCGUUUUUUUUUCCUCAAGCUAAGCAAACCUCUCAAAAAUAUCUCUCAUCUCCCCCAAAAAAAAAACCAAACAAAAGCUCUCCCCCCGUUCUCUCCAGAAAUCUCCUCUGUUUCUCUCAGCUCAUUUUUUUUCCAAAAUCCCAGUUCUGCUGCUUCCUCUCUAGAAUCCUCUCUUCCCCUCAGAAAAACCUCUUCCCUUUAGGCAAAUAUCCUUAUUGCCUGAUUUGCCCCUACAACAAUAUCUCUGGAAACAGCCACCUCCCAAAAGCAACCUUACUUUCUGCAGAAUAUUCCCUCUCUCAUACGCUCCUCCUAACCGCUUGCAGAGACUUUCUAGAAUGCCCCUCCACGUGUCACCCUCGUAUUCGCUCCUUGAUUCCACUAUCUGAUGCUAUAGCAACCAGACGGGAAUCGACACGUGGCUACUCAUAGCUGCGACACCUGGCAAAAAGAGUUGCAAAAAAAUGCAUGAAAGUGAGGUCCCCAAAAUGGGGGUCUACAAAAAGCUUUAUUAAUUGUUUUAAUUUUGAUCUUAGCUUUGAUUUAUGUUAUUUUGAUAUAAACUUAGACUUUUUGAAUGAUCAAAAUUAUGAGGAAUUUCAAAAUAAGUGGAGGGAAGCCAUAUGGAACCAAAGAAGCACAAAAACAGAGGAAUUUAUGCUCUUGUGAAAAUUUCGUAGCCAAAAGAGUCACCCUACGAAAAGAGGCUUUCCCUGCGAAAAAUUUUUGCAGCCACAAGACCCCCCCUGCGAAACCACCCCUAGGCACAUGUGUGCCAUUUUGCAACCCAAAAGCCCAUUUCGUAGCUACGAAAUGAGCUGCGAAACCACCUGCGAAAUUCCCUUUUUGCUACGAAAUCCCUCUUUAGCUGCGAAAUUCCCUUCCUCCUGCGAAAAUUUCAACCGUCAUUUGAAUACCUAUUUAAGCCUCUAAAUUCCUACAUUUCAUUUCGCACAACUAUUUUGACCUACGAAAAGCCCCUCCAAGUGCAAAACUCAACCAAAAUUAGAGGACCCUUUCCAAGGGAAGUCCAGAGGACAUCCAUUUAAAGCAUAACACCCCACGCACCUCCCCUCACCCUCUAAAGCCUCUUCACUUCAGCCAUGGCCAAAACGAGAGGAGCCAAAACCCCAUCUCCAUUAGCCCGCAGUAGUACACUGAGAGCUUCACCUGUGCGAGACUCAAUGAUUGAGCCUCCACAACCACUUGCCAUCCCACCUUCCGAAGAUGGAGCGCCGUCUAGUCUUCCUCAGUAAUGAUAUCAGACCAGGAGACCACCUACUAGACCAAGGGUAAGCUCUUUCCGUCCCAAGAAGUCAGCUAGUCGCCCUCAUGCGAAGAAAGCCAGAGUCUCAGCUCCAGUAGAGCCAUCAGAGCCUUCAUCAGAGCCUCAACAACCUACCACAGAGUCUCAGAUUCCUUCUGGGAUGACUCCAGAUGUGGUUAUUAGACGACCUAUGGUUACUCAGCCACCCAUAGAGGGAAAUUUGGAUUGCCGGGCUAGGCCAUUCCACUUUGAGCUAUGUUUUGACAGAGAGACUUUCAGACACCAGCCAGAGCUCAGAGAUUCAUUCCACUUACUUCAGAGGUACCAUUUGGAGCAUCUGAUGGCUCCAAGGGAUUUCUUCUAUCCCUAAGUAGCAUUAGACUUUUAUCAGUCUAUGACUACGUAUCGCGUCUGGGAUCCUACUAUCAUCCACUUCACUAUGGAUGGACGUCAUGGUAUCUUAGGAGCCAAACACAUAGCAGAGGCCCUGCGCAUUCCAUAUGAGCCAGUGCGUCCAGAGGAUUAUAGAGAGUGGGCUCAUCUUUCUCAGAGUGAUAUGGUUCGUAUACUGUCCAAGGGGACAUCCACAUGCUCGUUUAUUUUGAGAAAGGAGCUUCCUCCCAGCAUGUUUCUUCUAGAUGCACUCCUACGCCACAACAUAUUUCCAAUUUAGCACAUGGUGCAGAGGAGGGGAGCUAUAUUGGAGGCCUUGUUUAGGAUGUCAGAGGGUUUUUACUUUGGCCCUCAUCAUCUCAUCAUGACCGCUCUUCUUUACUUUGAAGAGAAAGUCCACAGGAAGAAGCUACUGAGAGCAGAUGCCAUUCCACUACUAUUCCUGAGGUUGCUUUGUCAGAUAUUAGAGCACUUGGGCUAUCCUUCUGAGCCUCAGCUUAAACGCAGACGCAUUUUCCUAGAGAUAUUCACUCUCGACAAAUGGACUAGUAUGACGACUUAUGUUGCACAGCCAGGAGCCUUAGUUGGACUAGAGCAUCCAGAGAUACCACAACUAGAGGAGCCAUAGCAGCCACAACAGGCACAGCAGGCUGAGAUACCUACGGAGAUCAUAGCACCUGCCCCUGCAAUGCCUUCUACAGGACUUACGCUUGAGGUCACAUCUUCUGCUCCUCUUACCACUACUGGGACUUCGCCAGUUGUACCAGCUGCAUCUAUGCCUCAUCCAUCUGAGUUUAGUAUCUCCAUAUCUAUUUCAAAGUUCAGAGGCCUAUGUCAUACUUUACAGACAUUGACCACUACUCAGAGCAUCCUUGUCCAAUAGAUGGCAGCCAUACUUGCACAUCAGGAUCAACUUAUCGCUACUCAGACCAAGCAUACUGCCAUCCUUAGGCAAAUACAACAACAUUUGGGAAUUCUAUCGCCACCUGAGCAUGAUAUGCCUGGCCCAUCAGAGUUUACAGAUCCAUCCUAGGAUGCUCCUCUAGCAGAGCAGACUGUGCCCCCCUAAGAAGACGACUACAGGAGAGAUCGAGACACUGAUCCCGAGCACUCAAACUUCUACAAUCGAGCCAUCAUCUCCACAUGAUCCUCCCAUCACCAUCUGAUCAUAAAUCUAUUUUCUUUUUUGUAUUUACUUAUUACAAUAGAACUCGUGAUCCCAUGUUUUUGAUGUUUUAUAUACUAGGAUUGGAUGUAUUACUUGUUUUUUAUUCAUAGUGUACUUUCUUAAAGUAAUACAUAUCCAUCAAUUUUUAGUAUACUGGGCAUAAUAUCAUUUUAUUUCCUCUACUCAUAAUUUUUUGUUGUUUUUGAAUCAUGUGGUUUCUCCUAAACGACUCAAACUCCAUGUCACUUAGGAGGUGCCACUUCCUCCCUGUAUUUUUAAUCGCUCUUGCCACAUUGAGGACAAUGUUCAACUUGGUUGGGGGGAAGAGAGUUGAGGAAGCAAGUUUUUGUUAUUAACGCUAAGUUAUUUUGAUAAUUUAAUUGCUUUUUGCUUAAUUUUAAUUUUUUUUAAAGUUUUUAUUCUACUUUCCAUGGUUAUUAAGGAAAAAUUCUCAAAAUGAAAUGGGAGAAAUUGAAUUUUUGUCUUUUUACUUGACUUAGAGUUUGUAUUAUGCUUACUAAAGUUGACGAAUUGUUGAAACUUCUAUUGAAUUCAACUUUAGUUCUUCCACUUUAAGCUAUUCACACACUUUGCACACUAGGUUCCGAUUAUAAGAUGAAAAACUAUAUCACCCCCUUGACUUAGGAAAAUUUAGACUUGGUACUUUUGACCUCAUUUAAUAGUGUUGGGACACCUUAUAAAAGGCCAAUGAGCCUUUGAAAAAAAAAAAGAAAAAAAAUGUUUUACUUACCUUGAAACCCGAGCAAGGUCUGAGAGGUAUAUGGUGAAAAUCUUUAAAACCUAGUUCCCUAAGCCUUCUAUGGACCCGCAUUUUUCACAUGCGCUCCCACUCGAUCGGUGAGACUCGCUUUUUAUUUGUGAAAAAUUAAUUUUUAGAAAAGUCGGAGUCGCCACUUGUUUUAUUUUUAUUUUAAAGGGAAAAUAGAACAAGAAAGAAAAACCCUAAAAAAAAGGUGACUCCAUAAUUUUUGGAAAAGCAUGUAUUUGAAAACCCAAGUCUUGGUCUGGGGAUCAGGUUACUUAUUGGGAAGGUACCUCUAGGAGGUAGCACCCCUCUAAGCCCUAUAAAGGUCUCUACUGACAAAGUUAAGGGAAGUGUGGCCAUUAAUCAGUUAAUUAUAGGUACCUAAGUAGGCUAGGUGAUUUCAAAUAUUGCAUGCCAAACAAGAUCAAAUUACAAUAAAGGAGAGUUAGGGUGCAUACUUGGACGGCUUCUCAAAACGCUAUCAUAAAACAUGAAAGUUUGUAUUGAGAUACAUCACACAACAUGCAUUUUAUCAAAGAUAAUCAAACAAUCAUCAAAUAUAUAUCAAGACAAUCAAACAGGAUAGCAAGCAUGGGCAUAGUAUGCAAUGACAAUCAUAUUCAUAGGGUUUAGAAAGUGGGUAUUAGGGAACGUACCUGGAUAGCAUAUAUAACUCCUAAUGCGCUUCCUCAGGACAUGGAGGGUUAGAUAAUAAAUAAUAAAUAAUAAAUCCUAGCAUGCUUAUAUAAUUAAUUAGCAAAAAUUAUCAGAAUACGGAAUAAUUAAUUAUCAUAUAUAUCUUGUAUACAAUUCCUAAAAAGAAAAAUGUGAAUAUGAUUACAAUAAAUAGUAGAGUGGUAGCAAAAAUAAAUUUUGAAAAGAUUUUCUUAUGUAGGGGUUUCACUAAUUCCCCAAUUGAUAUACACAAAUCUAGCUUGGAAUUAUCCCAUUUGUUUGGGACCACAAGCUUGGAUUCAUGUCUUACUCAAAACUGUAAUUUUAUUUGAAAUUUAAGAAAGAUGCAAACCGAUCAAAAUGUGGUUGCACAUUAUUUGAGAAAAUGAGAUUUUGAUCCUAAGAACUCUAAAUGAAUUUUUGAAAUGGAUUGUUAAGGGGAUCUUUUGACUCUAAGAAACUCUAAAUGAAUUUUUGAAAUGGAUUUUUAAGGAACAUGAGAUUUUGAGAAUAUUGUUAUGUUUUAAAGAUAAAAGAAGUUAAUUUGAAAACAAUAAAAUGUAUGAAUCAAAAUACAAAGAAAAAAGAACAAAAUCACAAAGUAAAAUUUUUAACAACCGAUAAAAUUGAAGUGGUGGGAAUGGAGGCCAAUCUUCACUAUCUUCCGAUAGCCUCUAAAAAUUGAAUUUGACAAAGGAUGACCAAAGUGAUAAACUAAAACCUUAGAUCUUACAAGCACUGAAACUUUAAAAACAUUUAAUCUUAAGAUAAACUUAAUCAAGCACUAAAUAUUAUGUGAUCUUUAAAACGGUACAAGCGAUACGUAUUAACUAAUAUUGACAAUUUUGAGUCAUAAAUCUAAUCGGCUAACUAAACAAUUGAAUAAAAGAAAACAAACACAUAAACUAAAUAAAAUUAGUCAAAAACUAAAAUGAAUUAUUUUUAAACACAAAAUGAUAACAUGGGGAUAGAUUAAACUAAUUGCCUGCAAUUCGAAAGCAUAGAAUGAAUAGAAAAAUGAAAUUAACAAUUUUAAAACAUAAACUAAAUAGUAUGAAACCAAUCAAACUAAUGAAAAUUCUAAAAAACAAAUCAACUAAAACAAGAUCAAUCAAAACUAAAAUAAUUUUUUUUUUACUUUUUAUUUAUUUUUAUUUAUUUUAAAACGUGAAUAUAUCAACGUGGAAUGAAAUAAAUUAACCAACUUAAAUUCUAAAACUAAUAAACUAAAAGGAUGAAUCAUGAAUUAAAAUUAACAACCUUUAGAUAUCAAAAGAGUGACAUGGAAUCAAUUGAACUAAUAAACUGAAAUUUUAAUAACAUCUAAACCAAAAGAUAAAUUAAAACUAAAUUGAAUAAAAUUAUGAAUUUCCUAAUUGAGAAAAAAAAAUAAUGUUAAUCUGAAUUCUAAAUUUUUAACUAUCAUAACAAAUUAUCUAAACUCUAAAAAAUCUUAACUUUUCCAUUAUUAACAAAAAUUGCCAAAACCAAUACUAAAGAACUAAUUUGUCAAACUAAGAAAAUAAAUUAUAACUACAUUGAACAAAAACAUAAUUUUCAAGCUAGAAUAAUAAAUCAAAAAUAAUUUAUUUAUAAUUGGAUAAAUAUAUAUAUGAUCAAUUAUUUUAAUGAAAUAAAAUUUUAUAAGAGUGCUUAAACCUAAAGUAAAAUUAAAAACUAACAAAAAUGAUUUUUAAAAACCAAAUCUCUAACCUAUAGAAUCAAUUUUAAUUAUAAUUAAAUAAAUUACAAGGCAUUAAAUUGGUAACAAAUGAAUAAAUAAAUAAUCAAUAAUUAAAUGAAUCAAAACCACAUCAAAUAAAGAUUAAAACAUGUAUUUAUUUUUUUUUAAGUAAAGCUACCUAAAAUCAUAUUUUAUGAAUUUAAUAUAAUACAUUAAAACUAACCUUUAACGUGAUGAAUAAAAAAAAUUAAACAAAUGUGAGAUUGUAUUGCCAUAUUAAAACAAACACGUGUUGAAGCUAAUAAACAAAUCAACCCACUCAACCCAAUAUAAUAAUCCGAAAAUGGUACAUCACAAGACAUCAAAGCUCCACCAAAUGUAAUAACUUAAACAAUUAAACCACAAGUAACAUUUUUUUUUAUUUUUUAUUGCCAUAUUCAAAUGAAAAAUAUAAUAAUCUAAACUGAAAUGAAACCAAAUUUAUAUAUAUAUAUAUUUUCAAAGCAACCCAAUGUAGAAAACAAAUCAACUUACCAGCGGCUAGGUGCGUGGACUAUUCUUCUCAAAAGUGGCAGCUGUGUAAGUGGAUGGUAUGAUGAGUCAAAUCUGGUCGGCUAUGCUUGCUCCAAAGCAAUCCGAAUGGUGUUUGGUUUGCUGUGGUGUUUAGGGACAGGUAGCAAUAGGUUGUAGCAUGGAGAUGGUGCUCAAAAGUGCCACCCGUGGAGGCUCUAUUGGUGCAUGUCUGUUGUGGUGUUUAGGGGCAGGUGGCAAUAGGUUGCAGCGUGGAGAUGGUGCUUUUUCUAAUUCUGAAAACUGAAGCUCACAAAAAACGUUAGGUCAUGCCGUGUUGAUGCAAUGCCACAAUCUAUUCUUCCUUUCUAUCCGAAAAAAAACCACUGCAAGAUGGAGAAGAUUAUUCUCCCUUUCUUGGAGAAUGGUCCCGCCAGCUGAUCGUUCCUCUCUCAAAGACGUGAAUUUCCCCUGGACUAUGUGGUAGAUGGUGCGGCCUGUGUAUGCGUUCACUUGCAGGUGUGGCUGCGACUUUCGGACCCCAGAAUGAUGCGGCUACCCCUUCCUUAAUCCGGUGAUCAGAAAAAAAUCUCUCUCAAUCCAAUGAUCAGAAAAAAAAAAUCCCUUUUUCUCCACAGCAGCCCGCUCCAUCCCCCUUUUUUUUUUUCCUUUUUUUUUUUUUUGAAAAUUUUCUUUCCCUAAAAAAAAAAACUCUUCUCUUCCUCUAUAUCUUCCCCACAAAACUGUCUUCAUUCAUUCCCAUGAGUGUCCUUCUAUCAUGCCCUGAAUCCACCCUUCCAAAACCGACAUGAUCCCUUUCCAUGAGCGUGUUCUGCACCUUCUCGUUGACUCCACCUUCAAGGAAAAAUCACUCACCAACCCGGAGAGAGCUAGCAAGCAGUUGCGUGUUGCUGAGUCACCUUCCCAAAGAUAUUCUCUAUUCAUUCCUUCUUUCUAAAACACUAAAUGAUCCAUCAUUCCAAAAAAUGCAUAACCUUCCUUAUCCAUGACUUCUAUCAAAUAUCAGCCUACAGAAUUUCAUAGAAACAUGCUCAGAAUCCUCCAGAAUGUGCACCCAACUCCUUACCAAAAAUGUGCUCCAAGUCCUCCAUUUGGCUAAUCUAUGAUAAAAAAAAAUCAGUAAAAGUAACUAUACUAAUAAUAAUAAUAAUAAUAAAUAAAUAAAUAAAUAAAUAAGUAAAUAAAUAAAACAUUUAAACAAAAUUAUUAGAUUAUCAAGGACAAGUAUUACGAAAAUGUGACAAAAUAAUAGGAAAAUAAAAUAAAGAAGGAAAUAGACAAAAUAAUAAAUAAAAUAAACAAAAAUAUAAUAAUAAAAAGCCAAGAUAUGCAACUCCAUAAUAAACGAGCCAUGCAAGUCAUGCAAGCCAUACAAAAAAGCAAUCCAUACCAACCAUGCAAGCAUGCAAAAAUUCCCUAAAAGGUAACCUAAGUGGGCCUAAGAUGCCUAAGUGAGCCUAAGGCGAUUAAGUGGGCCUAAAGUGAUCUAAGUGGGCCUAGGGUACUAAGUAGGCCUAAAGUGUCUAAAUGGGCCUAAAGUGAUGCCUAAUGGGCCAAGUGUACCUAAAUGGGCCUAGGGAUACCUAAAUGGGCCUAGGGUGCCUAAGUGAGCCUAAAGUGAUCUAAGUGGGCCUAAGGUAACUAAGUGGGCCUAAAGUGUCUAAAUGGGCCUAAAGUGAUGCCUAAUGGGCCAAGUGUACCUAAAUGGGCCUAAGGAUACCUAAAUGGGCCUAGGGUUACCUAAAUGGGCCUAGGGUGCCUAAGUGCUAUCCUAAAAAAAGCAAGAAAAGUCGAAGUCUAAGUUAGGGCUGCCAAGGGUCACAAUAAGGGGCCAGAUAAUCCCUCAACUAAAGUCUCCGAGGUGGCUUAGAAAAGAUAGGCUACACGAGUAUUAAUGGGCCACCAGGGAAUUGCUAUAAACGACAUGUGCGAGGAAGACAAAAUAGAGGGUCUACACCUUCAUUGGUUGAGAGUCACCGACCUCAAUGCUCGUUACAAGGGUGAAUAGGUGGAGUUUAACAUACUGUAGGUGCUUGGGUAUUAAAAUUCAUUCUCAAAAGUCCGGGGUAAAAUCUGAGGAGUUAGUGGUUGAAAGAUCCUUAAAGCUUGAUGCCCUAAACCUUAAUUGGUUGGGAGUCAUCGAUGGACCCCCGUUACAUGGACAAUUUAGAAAAGAAUACCUUUAAGCCUUUUACUCCUACAAUGAAAAAAAAAAAUUGUGAACCAAGAGGUGUGUUCUUAGCCUAUUGAAGGUUGUCAGUCUGCUAAGUGUUGAAAAAGAACUAGGUUGGGGGGAGAGGUUAGUUCAGCAUACUAUAUUCAGAAGCUAAUAAGUAACACUAAGAUUUUUGUGGAAGAGUAAGGUUUGGCCAUUUGAGAGUGGAAAUUCUUUUAAAGCUUAAAUUUGCAUAAUGUUUUCUCUUUAUGAAUUGUGAUUAGACAAGUUAUUUGAUAACUCUUGUUGAAGUUUGAGUUUUAUAUCCUUAAUGUUCCAUGAGAGAAUAUGCUCUACAUCAUGCCACUUGAAAUUUUUUUGGAGUGAUCAACAUGAUGUUGUAAAUUAUAGUACUGUUUAUUUUUCUUUUUCUCUCCUUCAUUGCUAAGGGACUAGCAAUAUGUCAGUUGGGGGGAGUGAUUACUACUCAAAAAGUGCUAUUUUAUAGCUUUCAAUUAACUCUUUUAAACACUUUUGAGUAGUAGUUAUUACUUUUUAACUCAAUUGGCAUGUUAAGGACCCUUGCAAUCAUUUUUAAUCAAAUUGUGUUAAGUUUUGGUAUUUUUGAUGGCUUUAUGAUCACCAAAGCAAUCUAAGAUUGAGGGAGAGCUCUGUAUAAUCCAUGGCAAAGCAAAUGGAAGCCCAUUUACAGGAAGAAUCCAAGCUUUGGAGCUUUGUAGUCCUUUGCCAAAAGCAAAUCAAGAAUGCAAGGAGGAAAAACAAAGAGAGGAAUCUAACAUGAAGAAAUUCAAGAGGAUGGCAACUGUAGGACACAUUUUGAGCACUUCCUGGAGUCCAUUUUAUGCAUACUAUAUGUCGUUUCGAAGCUCGGGAAGUCAGGAGUCCAACGCUUCAAACAGUACACAAAUCAGAGUUGAAAUGAAGAAUUAUGGCCAUUGGAAGACAAUUACACCAAGUUGAAAGGCAAUUUCGCAAGUUGCUAAAUCAUAAAGUGCUAGCUGCGAAAUCAACAUUUUCUUGCAAAAUGGAGACUUUCAGCUUGCAAAAUUUUCACAGCUCAUUUUGCAAGCUGCGAAAUCCACCUAUGUGCUUCCAGAUAUUUGCGAUCGACUCUUUUAGAUUUUUUCUUCAGAUAUUUGUUGUUUAAAUCCCCAUUUUCUCCUUGUAAUCCACCAAUCCUAGGAUUCCUUAGUUAGGAAGUAAGAAGAAAGGGUGAAUAACCUCCUAUAUAUAUUUUGUAAUUUUCUUUCUAUAGAUAUCUCGGGAGCUUGUUCUCAGAGACCAAAUUUUGUAUAGUUUUGAAGAAAGUAAUACACAGAGCUUUGCUCUACCUUACAUACUCAUUUUGAUUGUAUUUUUCUCACUAGCCAAACAAGCUUUGGGGAUGUUUCCUCAGAGAAUGAGUGGCUAGCCUUUUUGUCUCUUGGAGUUAAGGAAGCUGGGUAAGGUGCCAAAUGCAAAAAUUUGAAGUUUUGUUGUUUCAGCUUUUAAUGAAGAGAAAGUGUGACCUAUUAAUAGUUUCUAUGUUUUUCGUUAACUUAAAAUACCUUAAAAUCACCUGGGCCAACACUUGGUAAGGCAAGUGAUCUCCAUCCAUUGAGAUACACUAGUUUAUCUCUUGCGAGCCUUUGGGAGGUGGUUCAAAUGUAGGAUUUUCUAGAAUAGCCAACACUUGGUAAGCUUUUGGACUCGAAAGAGACAUCCAUUAGUUAUCUCUUGCGAGCUUUUGAAGGGUAAUACAAGGUUAAGGAUCACCUUGAGUGGUAAAUGCUAGGUAAGAGGCACGAGCCAUUGCAAGAUGAAUCAGUGAGAGGGAUUUAGUGUUUGAAUCCAUAAAAGGGAAGCAUCUGUACCACACCCGUUCGGGAAAUAACCAUAUGUUAAAUCCCCAAUGUGAGGAAAAGAUUCAAGUGACCGGAACUCUAUUUUUGUAAUAGGAGCCUGACCCUAGUGAUCCAAAAACUCCAAGAAACACCUUUCUUUAUAAGUAAUUUCAGUUACUAUUUUUGGUUAGUUUAAAACCAACCAUUUUUCAACCAAAGUUUAUGUUUUCUUUUAAAACUAACCUUGAAAUGAAAAAGACACCAAUUCAACUUUGAAUUAAUAUCAGUUUUAAUUUGAAAACCCUUCCCAGUGAACGAUCCUAGAGCCACUAUGCUAUGCUAGCUGAGGCUAUCCUAGUACAUAGUGAAAUAAGUUAUAAAUUUUGUUGAUUACUCUUGUCUGAGGACCAAAAUCAAGGUACACUAGUUGAUUGAUCACCAAUCAAUAAGACAUACACCACAUGAGCACAAAAUCAGGAUGAGAACUAGAACAUUAGCUUAGGAUACUUGACCACAUGUGGGUGCAUAUGUGUACAUGAAUUUCUAGUGGUAGAGUUUUAGCAGUGCAUCAGAUGAGGGUUUAUCCAAUGUUGGUUAAAAGAUUUGCAGUUUUGGUUGGAUCUGAUUUUGGUACUACGGUCACAUCUUAGCACAUGUUUGGUUCAACCUUAGAUAGGUUCCAUAAUACUAGGAUUCCUUUUUUUAUGUACUCUUCUUCGCCUUUUAUAUUAUUUAUGUAUAUUUUCUUCUUUUUUGCCACUUGGCUUUACUAUGUAGACUCAUCUUAGACCUUCCACUCCAUACCUUUAAUUAAGAUACUUGAUUCAUUUCUCAACUCAUAACUCUUUAUCAUUUUCUCAUUUAGUUCAUGAAGUGUAUCUUUUUUAACACAUUUUUUUUUCAUAAUACCCACCUCGGUUACCUUGUUUUUUCUUUUGGAGUUAGUGUUGAUGAAUGAAUCAAGAUUGUUUCAAUUUAGGUAAGAGAGUUAGUUCUAUGUUGGAGUCACCCUUCAUUUUGUAUCAUUGUCCCAAGGGUUGUGUUGAUAUUUCUCAUUGUAUCAUUAUAGGCUAUUUUUUCUUAGUAGAUCUGUGUUUUUAGUUUAGAGCCAACUGCGUGGAUUCAAGUAUAGGGUUAAUUAGUCAGGGUGUUAGAUCAAAUUAGUAUGGAUCAACAGGUGGUGACUGUGGAUCAGUUAGCUACUACCAUGACCAGUGUCCAUGAGGCAAUCAGUGGUUUGAGUUAGAGAAUAAACCAGGACCAGAGUACACAAAAGCAAACCUCUUAAGAUCUGAUAUCACCAGACUCAAUUGUUUCCCAUUUUUAACAGAUAUAACAUUACUACUCAAAAAGGGCUAUUUGAUAGCUUGUAAUUAACUCUUUUAAACACUUUUGAGUAGUAGUUGUUACCUUUUAACCCAAUUAACAUAUUAAGGACCUUUGCAAUCACUUCUAAUCACUUUGUGUAAGUUUUGGUGUUUUUGUUAGUAAUUUGAUCACCAAAGCAAUCCAAGUUUGAGGAGAGUUAUUUGGAAUCCAUGGCAAAGCAAUGGAAAGCUCAGAAACAUAAAGAGCCAAAGCUUUGAAGCUUUAAAGUCCUUUGCCAUAUGCAAUCCGGAAUGCAAGGAGGGGAAGUAAAGAGAAAAUCUGCCAUGAGACAUUCUUGAUGACAGUCAUUUCAGCCACUUUUUGAGCACUUCCUGAAGUCCAAUUUAUACAUGCUAUAUGUCGUUUCGAAGAUUAGGAAGUCAAAAAUCCAAUGCUUCAAACGGUUCGUGAAUCGGAGUUGAAAUGAAGAAGUUAGAGUCAUUAGAAGCAGAUCACUCCAAGAUGAAAGCCAAUUUCGCAGGGCUACAAAAUCAGCCUUUAGCUGCGAAAUCAGCCUUUGGCUGCGAAAUGAUUUCGCAGCCAUCCUGUUUGUGCGCCUGCGAAAUUCUCCUGAGUGCUUCCAGAUAUUUGCGACCGACAUUUUUUUAUAUUUUGCUUCAGAUAUUUGAUGUCUAAAUCCCAAUUCUCUCAUUGUAAUCCACCAAUUAUAGGAUUCCUUAGUUGUUAAGCAAGAACACAAGAGUAAACAACCUCUUAUAUAUUGUUUUGUAAUUUUCAUUUUAUGAUAUCUCGGGAGCUUGUUCUCAGAGAACCAACUUUUUGUAUAGUUUGAAAGGAAGUAAAAUACAGAGCUUUGCUCUGCCUUACCUUCUCACUUUGAUUGUAUUGUUCAUUCACUAGCCAAACAAGCUCUGAGGAUGUUUCUUCAGAGGAUGGGUGGCUAGGCUUUUUAUUUCUUGGAGCUAAGGUAGUCGGGGAAAUGGCCGAAUGCAAGAAUUGGUAGUUUUGUUGUUUCAGCUGUUAAUGAAGAGAAAGUGUAACCCGUUUAUGAUUUCUAUGUUUUUAGUUAACUUAAAACGCCUUCAAUUCACCUGAGCCAACACUUGGUAAGGCAAGUGAUCUUCGUCCAUGGAGAUGCACUAGUUUACUUCUUGCGAGCUUUUGGGAGGUGACCUGAAGGUAGGAUUUUCUAGAAUUGCCAACACUUGGUAAGCUUUUGGACUCUAAGGAGGCAUCCAUUAGUUAUCUCUUGCGAGCUUGAGAAGGGAAGUCCAAGGUUAAUGAUCACCUUGAAUGGCAAAUGCUAGGUGAGAGGCACGAGCCAUUGCAAGUUGCAUCAGUGAGAGGGAAUUAAAGCUGAAAUCCAUUUAAGGGAUGCAUCUGUACAACACCGAUUAGAGAAUUGACUAUAUGUUAAUUCUCUAAUGCGAGGAAAUGAACCAAGUGACCGAAGCUCUGUUUUUGCAUGAGGAACCUCCCAUGUGAACCUGAACCUCCAAGGAAUGUUUUUCUUUAUAAAGUAAUUCCCAUUACUUUCUUUUUAGUCAGCUUGAAACCAAACCUUUUUCAACCAAAGUUUAUGUUUUCUUUUGAAACUAACCUCGAAAUGAAAAGGCACCAAUUCAACUUUGAAUUGGUAUCAGUUGUAAGUUGAAAACCCUUCCCAGUGAACGAUCCUAGAGCCCCUAUGCUAUACUAGCUUAUGCUAUCCUAGUGCAUGGUGAUAUAGGUUAUAAAUUNNNNNNNNNNNNNNNNNNNNNNNNNNNNNNNNNNNNNNNNNNNNNNNNNNNNNNNNNNNNNNNNNNNNNNNNNNNNNNNNNNNNNNNNNNNNNNNNNNNNUCAGAGGAUGAGUGGCUAGGCUUUUUAUUUCUUGGAGCUAAGGUAGUCGGGGAAAUGGCCGAAUGCAAGAAUUGGUAGUUUUGUUGUUCAGCUGUUAAUGAAGAGAAAGUGUAACCCGUUUAUGAUUUCUAUGUUUUUAGUUAACUUAAAACGCCUUCAAUUCACCUGAGCCAACACUUGGUAAGGCAAGUGAUCUUCGUCCAUGGAGAUGCACUAGUUUACUUCUUGCGAGCUUUUGGGAGGUGACCUGAAGGUAGGAUUUUCUAGAAUUGCCAACACUUGGUAAGCUUUUGGACUCUAAGGAGGCAUCCAUUAGUUAUCUCUUGCGAGCUUGAGAAGGGAAGUCCAAGGUUAAUGAUCACCUUGAAUGGCAAAUGCUAGGUGAGAGGCACGAGCCAUUGCAAGUUGCAUCAGUGAGAGGGAAUUAAAGCUGAAAUCCAUUUAAGGGAUGCAUCUGUACAACACCGAUUAGAGAAUUGACUAUAUGUUAAUUCUCUAAUGCGAGGAAAUGAACCAAGUGACCGAAGCUCUGUUUUUGCAUGAGGAACCUCCCCUGUGAACCUGAACCUCCAAGGAAUGUUUUUCUUUAUAAAGUAAUACCCAUUACUUUCUUUUUAGUUAGCUUGAAACCAAACCUUUUUCAACCAAAGUUUAUGUUUUCUUUUGAAACUAACCUUGAAAUGAAAAGACACCAAUUCAACUUUGAAUUGGUAUCAGUUGUAAGUUGAAAACCCUUCCCAGUGAACGAUCCUAGAGCCCCUAUGCUAUACUAGCUUAUGCUAUCCUAGUGCAUGGUGAUAUAGGUUAUAAAUUUUGUUGAUUACUCCCAUCAGGGGACCAAAAUCAAGGUACACCAGCUGGGAACAUACGAAUCAUAUAACAUGCUACACUAUUUACUUUACACGAUCAGACCGAGGUAGCCCCACUAGUUCAGAUACCAUAUGUUCCUCUCCCUAUUAUAGAUGAUGCAUGUAUUACUAAGCAGGAGGCUCACAUGUAGAAGUUAGAACAGAAGAUAAGACAUAUGAUAGUUAUAGAGGGCUAGCCUAUUUGGGAUGACAUGUAUCAAGUGUCAGUUGCUAACUUGCCUCAUAAGUUUAGGAUGCUUGAUAUUGAUCAUUACAUGGGAAUAGAGUGCCCUCGUAUUCAUUUGAGAUUAUACAAAAUAGUCAUGCGAGCCCAUGACCUAGAUGAAAUGUAGAUGAUUAUGCUUUUUCCCUUGUCACGGAGUGGGGUUGCGCAACGUUGGUAUGCAUCCUUAGAUAUGUUGCGUAACGUACCUGAGAGAAUUUGACACAUGAUUUUUUGAGCCAGUAUGCGUUCAAUAGUGAUGUUGACGUAUCUAGAAGAGAGUUGAAGGCUCUCAAAUAGAGGCAUGAUGAGUCAACCAUUUUUUUCACCUCUCAAUGGAAAGGAAAUGUUGCCCAGAUUAUCGAGAGGCCUAAGGAGAGUGAGCAGAUUGCCAUGGUUAUUAGGAACUUACAACCCAUAUUUGCUCAACAUUUUGUAGGCAUCAUUUUUUAGGACUUCCAACCUUUGAUCUUGGCCAUUUUUAGUGUAGAGGAGGGCAUCUCUCGAGGGUUAUGAACUGAUUCUUCCUCUUCAGAUCCAAAGGAGAAAAAACCUAUUUCAUCCAACCGAUCAGCAGAGGUAGACUCUAUCAGUUAUUAGAGACGGAUGGGUGAUUUUUCAUUUUUCCAUAGACUGUUUAGACAGUUUCAUGCUAGACCAUUGGCAAUUCGGGCUCGGUUCCCUCAUCCGCAGUAUCAGUUUCCCUAAUCUUAUGUGCAACCAUAGUUGACUCUACAUAUGCUACCUCUUUCUCGACCACAACAACCAUAUAUGGUUGCUUAUACCACAACUAGAUCGACUGUAGGAUAUGCCAGAGUUAGGUUUUUUUAGCCUUAGAGGCCUUCUACACCUAGAUUUAUGAGACUGCUCUUAGACAUAGGGAUGCCAUUAAGUCGAGUUUUUCAAAAGCUCUCUAAGGCAGGUCUUUUUGACUUUUUUUGCCUCCUAGACCAUUACUGUAGUUGAUUCCUCAUCAUUUUCGACUACAUGAGAAUUGUCUUUACCACUAGACUUCAGGGCAUCUGACAAAUCAUUACACUGCCCUUUGACAUGUUAUUCAGGACCUCAUUGAUAAGGGUUUGGUUAACCUGGAGACGCUCAAUGUUACUACAAUCCCUUUACUAGCCCACUCUACACAUGCAGUAGCACAACCUAUUAGUUCACAUUAUUUUGAUUAUGAUGAUGCUGGGGAUAGUAUUUAUAUGAUGGGUUGGGGGUCAUUUGAGCCAAAGCUUAUCAUUUGACUCUCAUUUUGGAGAAGUUGUUGAGAGGAGGGUUGCCUUGAUAGGUCAAAGACCGUAUAUUGUUUUGACCUUAGAUGAGGUGAUGUAUGAGUAGAGGUCAUGUUUUACUUUGAUUUCAAAUGUUAGGGUUCUACAUCACCCAUCGGUUUCUUUUUCUACUUCUCAUUAUAAUACGACCACCAUUUUUAUUCUAUCUUCUAGUCUUUCAAAUCUUGAUCUCUCCAAGGAGAUUUAGUAUGUGAUUUGGGGUACGAGAGUGACCUGAUAGUAGCCUCCAAUAGUGACUAGACCUUUUGAAGGAGAGACUUCUAGAGAUGAGGUGAGAGGAGGAUUAUGAGAUCAUGAGAUAGUUGUAGGCAACUCAGGCAUGCAUAUCUAUUUGGAGCUUCUUAGCCAUAUCCACUACUCANNNNNNNNNNNNNNNNNNNNNNNNNNNNNNNNNNNNNNNNNNNNNNNNNNNNNNNNNNNNNNNNNNNNNNNNNNNNNNNNNNNNNNNNNNNNNNNNNNNNNNNNNNNNNNNNNNNNNNNNNNNNNNNNNNNNNNNNNNNNNNNNNNNNNNNNNNNNNNNNNNNNNNNNNNNNNNNNNNNNNNNNNNNNNNNNNNNNNNNNNNNNNNNNNNNNNNNNNNNNNNNNNNNNNNNNNNNNNNNNNNNNNNNNNNNNNNNNNUAUGAUAAUACACGUAAAGAGGUUAUGAGGACAUUGAUGCUAGGCAUCCAGGUCGGGCUAGUUACAUUUUUUACGCUAUUCCAAGUUUUGAAGGUACCUAUGUCAUUCAACAUGUUAUUGGGUCGACAUUGGAUCCAUAAGGUUAGAGCUAUACUAUCUUCCUUUCAUUAGAAGAUGAAGUUUAUUCAUGAUGGUCGGGUUAUCAUGGUUCGAUCAUCUCAUGAUACUGCUAUUUCAUUUAAGGCUAUAUUGGAGAUUAGUCACAAUGAUGAAGACCUAUUCUUGAUUGGAUUUACCUUUGAUGAGGUCUAGACCAUCGAGAUGUUUGACAAUCCUGCAAGAGAUUAUCUUCCAUUGCCUUUUGAUGAGUUUGGUAGCAGAGUUGUGAUAAGGAUGAUGCGGAGUAUGAAUUACUUGCCCGAUUUGGGGUUAGGUAGGAGGCAGUAGGAAGUCUUUGAUUUUGUGUUUGAUGUGGAACGAGACUUACCAUUUGGUUUGGGGUUUGAGCCUACUCAUCAAGAUUAUAUCUAUGUAGCUCGCUUGCACCAAGCUUGCCUCUUAGUUUGAUUGAGGCACCUACCUUUUGAUUAUUUUGAGUGGUUGGCUAAUGUCGUUAAUAUUCCCAAAAAAGACAACAAAAUUAGAGUUUGUGUUGACUUCAAAGACCUUAAUAAAGCCAGUCCUAAGGAUGAUUUUCCCAUUCCACAUAUUAAUAUGUUGAUUGAUAGCACUACGGGUCAUUCAAUGUUGUCUUUCAUGGAUGAGUUUUCUGGGUAUAAUCAUAUUUUGAUGACUCUAGAGGACAUGGAGAAGAUUGCUUUCAUCAUUGAGUAGGGUACCUAUUGCUAUAGAGUUAUGCCAUUUAGGUUGAAGAACGCAUGACCCACUUAUUAAAGGGCAACCACUACUUUGUUUCAUGAUAUGAUGGGAUGUUAAGGUAUACGUUAAUGAUAUGAUUGUGAAAUCCCAAGAUAGAGCAUAUCACCUAGUAGCUUUAGAGAGAUUCUUUGAGAGGAUUCAAAAGUUCAUAUUGAGGUUAAACCCCAAAAAGUGCACCUUUAGAGUUAUUUCUGGAAAAUUAUUGGGACAUAUGCUCAGUGAGCAAGGUAUAAAAGUUGAUCCAAAUAAGAUUAGAGCCAUCCUUGACAUGCCUAUGCCGAAGACUGAGAGAGAGAUUAGGGGUUUUUUAGGCAAAUUAUAGUACAUCAGUUGUUUCAUAGCUAUAUUGACAAACAUAUGUGAGCCUAUCCUUCAUCUGUUGAGGAAGAACCAACCUACAGUCUGGAAUGAUAAUUGUCAAUGAGUUUUUGAGAGGAUUAAGGAGUAUAUACUUUCUUCUCUAGUUUUAGUGCCUUUUAUAUAGGAUGCCCACUGCUUUUGUACUUGUCAAUUUCAGACAUGGCCUUGGGAUACAUGUCAACUUAGCUCGAUGGCUUAGGGAAUGAGCGAGCUAUUUGUUAUUUGAGUAAAAGAAUGUCGGAGUAUGCGAUGAGAUAUGUUAUGAUUAAGCGCUUCUGUUUGGCAUUGCUUUGGGCUACUUGGAGAUUGCGGUAUUAUAUGACAGAGUAUUUUGUACAUUUGAUCUCUCACUUAGAUCCCUUAAGAUAUUUGUUUGAUAGACCCACAUUGAUAUGUAGAUUGAUGAGAUGGUUAGUGUUGUUGACUAAGUUUGACAUCUGAUAUGUUUCUCAAAAGUCUGUUGAGAGGAGUAUUGUUGUAGAUCAUUUCGUCUCACUUAUGAUAUUUGAUAGUAGAGUAGUUGAUGAUGACUUUCCAGAAGACGAGAUUUUUGUUAUGACCAGUUUUUUAGGAUGACAUAUGUAUUUCGAUGGAGUUACUAACAACUUCAGGUCUGGGAUUGGUGUAUUGUUGAUAUCUCCUCAUGGUGACCAUAUCCCAAGAUCAAUUCGUUUGACAUUUUAUGAUAGUNNNNNNNNNNNNNNNNNNNNNNNNNNNNNNNNNNNNNNNNNNNNNNNNNNNNNNNNNNNNNNNNNNNNNNNNNNNNNNNNNNNNNNNNNNNNNNNNNNNNNNNNNNNNNNNNNNNNNNNNNNNNNNNNNNNNNNNNNNNNNNNNNNNNNNNNNNNNNNNNNNNNNNNNNNNNNNNNNNNNNNNNNNNNNNNNNNNNNNNNNNNNNNNNNNNNNNNNNNNNNNNNNNNNNNNNNNNNNNNNNNNNNNNGAGGCCAUUAUGGGGUACCUCAUGAGUUUAUUUCAGAUAGGGGUACACUUUCGAGCCGAGGUUGACACUUUGUUAUAGAAGCAUGGUAUCCAACAUCAUAGAUCUCUUGCAUACAAGCUACAAACUAGUGGGGUAGUAGAGGUUGUGAAUAAAAACGUUAAGAGGAUUUUAAAGAAGAUGAUUGAGAUUUCUCGUGAUUGGCCAGAGAAGCUCUUCUUCGCUUUGUGGGCAUAUCAUACUUCUUUUCGCAUCUUUAUAGGAACCAUACCUUACUGUUUGGUAUACAGUAUGGAGGCUAUUUUUCCCAUUGAGAUUAAGAUAGGGUCACUAAGAGUAGUCUUGGAACAACAUAUUUAUGAGACUGAAUGGACUCAGGCUCAAUUUGAUCAGCUUAACCUUUUGGAUGAGAGAAGAUUGAAGGCAGUAGAUCAUGUUUAGGCUAAUUAGAGGGGGAUAGCCUAUGCAUUCAAGAAACAGUUCAAGCUUAGACAGUUUCAGAAAGGUGAUUUGGUAUUGAGGAUUCUUAGAGGAUUGAUUAGAGAUCCUCAUGGCAAGUUUAGGCCUAACUAGAGUGGACCCUACUUUAUUAGGGAGUUGACCUUAGAGGAGGCUGCAUGGCUAAUGGAUUUGGAUAGAAAUCAGUUCUCAGAACCGACCAAUGUAGAUCAAUUGAAGAAGUAUUAUGUUUGAGACCAUGGCUAGAGGCGACCUUCAUUUUGGUUAGCCUUAUACUUGAUCACCUUUAUAUUUCAUAUGAUCCUUUGCUAGCCAUUUGAGCCUCAUGAGAGUAAUGGCCUUUUGUUUCUUAUUGCCUUGACUUGGCUAUCUUUGUUGUGCCAAGUUAAGACCCCGUAGUGAGUAAGAUGUGUGGUCAUGGAUUUUAUGGGUGAUUGGAUCUAGAGUGAUGUUGUGUCACUCCUUGUUUGUAUUUUCAUUUCUUAUCUUUCACCCUACACUUUUAUAGAGUUGUCGUCAUUGAGUAUUCAUUUUCUUCUUGGUUUGUUGUUGUUUACUGUUGCUCAUUUAUUUUAAUCUUUUUCUCCUCAUUCUUUCUCUACAUUUUGUUUCAUCACCUAUGACGCUGGAUUGAUAGUUGUUCACUUAUCUUUGUGUUGAUAAGGAUCAUAUCACUCCUCAUUUCAUCUCCUUAUGGGUUUGAUCUUGAGAUUUGAGGAUUCUAUGGGCUCUUCUCUUUCUUGAGAUAGUGAUUAUAUUUGGAUGAGGGAUGUAGUUUGCUAGAUAUACAUGUAUAAUGGAGGAUUUAUGUUACUGGUCACAUAUGUUUGAUUGUAUAAAGCAUAUAAAAAAAAAAAAAAAACUCUUUUUCUUGUGCAUGAUUGUAUGUGUUGAUGGGUCCUCCCCUAAGUUCAUUUGUACUUUGGGUAAGUUUUUAGGUGAGAAGAUUUCCUUCUUAUAGGUAUAUUGGGAUUGUUCUUAUGAGGAUAUCACAUCGUGUAUAUGUUGGUGGAUUCUCNNNNNNNNNNNNNNNNNNNNNNNNNNNNNNNNNNNNNNNNNNNNNNNNNNNNNNNNNNNNNNNNNNNNNNNNNNNNNNNNNNNNNNNNNNNNNNNNNNNNNNNNNNNNNNNNNNNNNNNNNNNNNNNNNNNNNNNNNNNNNNNNNNNNNNNNNNNNNNNNNNNNNNNNNNNNNNNNNNNNNNNNNNNNNNNNNNNNNNNNNNNNNNNNNNNNNNNNNNNNNNNNNNNNNNNNNNNNNNNNNNNNNNNNNNNNNNNNNNNNNNNNNNNNNNNNNNNNNNNNNNNNNNNNNNNNNNNNNNNNNNNNNNNNNNNNNNNNNNNNNNNNNNNNNNNNNNNNNNNNNNNNNNNNNNNNNNNNNNNNNNNNNNNNNNNNNNNNNNNNNNNNNNNNNNNNNNNNNNNNNNNNNNNNNNNNNNNNNNNNNNNNNNNNNNNNNNNNNNNNNNNNNNNNNNNNNNNNNNNNNNNNNNNNNNNNNNNNNNNNNNNNNNNNNNNNNNNNNNNNNNNNNNNNNNNNNNNNNNNNNNNNNNNNNNNNNNNNNNNNNNNNNNNNNNNNNNNNNNNNNNNNNNNNNNNNNNNNNNNNNNNNNNNNNNNNNNNNNNNNNNNNNNNNNNNNNNNNNNNNNNNNNNNNNNNNNNNNNNNNNNNNNNNNNNNNNNNNNNNNNNNNNNNNNNNNNNNNNNNNNNNNNNNNNNNNNNNNNNNNNNNNNNNNNNNNNNNNNNNNNNNNNNNNNNNNNNNNNNNNNNNNNNNNNNNNNNNNNNNNNNNNGUCUAUGACACAUUGUCUUUCACUUACAAGGGGUAUGAGGAUUUAUCAUUGGGUGCUUGAGCCUAGUUUUCCUUUGUUUCUUUUACCUUUAACCUAAGCCUACGUUAUGUCCCAUGUCUUAAGACCACUUUGAGGCCAUGAGAUCUUGCAUUAUAUUCGGCAAACUUUGCUUGGAUGGUGCUUGAGAGUUAAUGGAAGUUCAGGCAUUGUCAUGAACUCAUCUAUGAGAGAUACUCUCCAUGUGUUCUCCAACUUUAAGCCUAAGUUGAUUCACCAACACAAGCUAUUGUUGGCAUACUUUCAUGAGGAUUUGGUAUGACAUUAAUGCUCCCCAUCUUUACAUUUCACACUUGACAUUUGAUUCAGCCUCAUACCAAGGCCUAACCACCUUCGAGUUGUAGCUACACCCCUUGUUGGAGUGCUAUCAUGUAAGUCAUUUCUUUUUUGUUCACGAGAGCAAGAUAGUUCAUAGACUCUUAAUAGGUUACACCAUUGAUCACCCAUAAUCUCAAAAAUGAGUUGGAGCAUCAUUGAUGUCUCUAGCAAUGUACAUGCGUAGCUCGGGUAUUCUUUGGUAGAUCAUGUUCAUCAUGUCAUUAUACCCUUGAUGGCAUAUAUGAGAUAGUUUGCUAUUAGAACAUGUGUAGAGGUUUUGUUGAUGUGGAGCUGAAGUUAUUUGUCUUAGGGCAUAUGUUAUACUGGGGCAUACCCCCUAUUAUCGUUUUGAUUGGAUUGAUGACUUUUUAGUAUGUCUCAUUGACAUGGAUAAUCAUUAUACUGGGCCAUAUUUCAUUCAUGAUACUUUCACUCUUUGUGACUUCUUGAUCUAUUUGUUAUACUGGGGCAUAUCUCAUAUCAUUCUUCUAAUUAGUUUUGCAACUCUUGAUAUGUUUCAUUGACUUGGAUGGUUACCAUACUAGGGCAUAUUCCUUUAAGGAUAUCGUUCUUUAAUGACUCGGUGAUUCAUAUAUUAUAUUGGGGCAUACAUUUAGUUCAUCAUGUCAAUUCUCUUGGCAGCUCAUAGUAUGGUAUAUUGUUGUUGAUGAUAAUUACACUGUGACAUAUCCCCUUCCAGAGUGUUUGUAUAUCCCAUUGAAAGAUCGAUUUCAUUGGAGGUCAUUAAUAGGUGCAAAAUUGUCAUGUGAGCCAUAAUUGUGGGUUAUUGAUAUGCGAUGUUGGCUUGCAUUGACAAAGAUGUGUUGGUGUUUGCAUGAUGGGGCAUAUCCCUUGGAUAAAGGAUUCUUUAUGCCUUGUACUACCUCAUUCAUUCCCCGUUCAUUUUAUGUUAAUGCAUUUGAUCCCCAGGUGGUUUGUGUGCCCAUUAACUACUUUCUAGUUGUGAUUACUCAGUUACCUCUUGCAUCUUGGCAACUGACUCUGUUAUUAUGAUAUUCGUCGUUGGCUCAUGUUUUUCUCUUAUUGCAUAAGCCUCUCAUUUGCUUCUUAGUGACAAUUCCUAUCAAUCAAUUCAGUUAUUGCUUAGGGCUUAUCAUGGUAAUGUUUUCUGUUAUCUAGCUUUGUCAUUUUAUUAUUUUACAUCUCUUUUGUUUCAUACUACACCUUGAUUGUCCGAUUUAUUUAUGUUUCCUAGAGCCAUACCCUGAUUGUUUGGCCUUCCCAAGUUUCUUAGAGUCGCAUCCUGACUAUUUGACCUUUCCUAUUUAUGUUUUCUAGAGUCUCAUUGUGGCUGUCCGACUAUUUAGGUUUCCUAGAGCCGCAACCUGAUUGUUCGGCCUCUUUGUGUUUCCUAGAGUCAUGCCUUGACUAUCUGACUAUUUAGGUUUCUUAGAGCCAUACCUUGACUGUCUGGUUUUCUCGAGUUUCUCAGAGUCACACCUUGACUAUUCGGUCUUUCUUGUUUAUGUUGCCUAGAGGUAUGCCUUGAUUGUCCGACCAUUUAGGUUUCCUAAAGUUGCACCUUGAUUGUGUUAGGAUAGAGUCCUUAAAAGCAUGACAUGAUGUAAUAAAUUUGGAAUUCAUUAUUUAUUUAACGAUGUUCCAAUUUCACUUUUAUCUAUCCUUAUUCCAUGUAUUAUACUUUAUGAGUAUUCUUGCCUACAUCUUUUGCAUUGUCCGUGACUUAUGUGUAUUAGGAGUUGCACAAAAUAUCUAAGUCAUGGGUUCCUUCCAAAUAGAUGACUUGUUCACAAUCGGUUCAUCGACUUAAGCAACCCAUUAGAAGUUGUAGUACACCACCUCCUAAUUGGAGGGAAAACUGAUCUUGGCUAUUGGGAUAGGUUUCCCAUGAUGAGUGCACUAGUGUGUAUGGUUUCACAUUGGAUAAGACCUAUGAUGAGUUAUGACUUAAUGCUAUCAAGUAGUCAUGACUCCACUAAGCUGCUUCAUUGUAUUGUCUCUCAACCUUGAGAGAAUAUUAAGCUUGUGUUGAAGUUAGCAGUGGCUUUGAUCUACGAGUGAUAUCGUAAGCUGAUCAUAUAUUCCCUAUGGAUUGGGCCACUGUUGGUGGAAGCCAGUAGCAAUAGGCAUUCUUAAUAUAGGCACCAUGAUAUCUCUUGGGAUUGAGAUAGUGUGUCCCCUUAGGUGAUCCUAAGGAGGUGUGUUCAUGGAAACUAUGAUCAUAGUAGUUCCUUAAGUGGAACUUGACAUAACCUCCUUGAGAGCUAAGAUAUGUCAAGUGAACAUAUAAAAGGAGGCUCUUUAACUUAAGGAUGGUAGAGACAAUCUUAAAAGGUUGAUAACUUUUACCUUAUUAGACUAUAAACACUAGUUCAUGGGAAGACUAAACAUGAUGGAUAGCAAGUCACAGACCCAAGCACUUGGUGUCUCAUUGUUAUUUACAUAGGAUACUGGAGUUCAGUUGAUUCUCUGUAAUGGGAUGUUGAAUCAACUUUAGAAUUGGAUUAUAAAGGAGCCAGUAUUCCUAUUGGUCCCAAUGGUUCCCACUCUGAGCUCAUAUAACUUGUUGGUAUGGGUUAUGAGGGUCAGAUUGGCUCUAGGUUCACUUUUGUGCAUAAGAGCGUUUUGGUAAUUACACAAGGUUGCAUAGGGGUAAGUGAACAAGGUCUUUGGAUUAGGCUAAUUGAUUAAUUAGAAGACCCUAUUAGGUUAAUUAAUAAAUUACAACCCAUUUUGGGCUAGAUUAAGUGACUUGAGCCCAUGUAGGCUCAAGUCACUUAAGCCUACUUAGGAACCCUAUAAAUACCCCUUAGGGGUUAGGGUUUCCAUAGCUUUUGUCUUCUACCACCUAGAGAGAAACAGAGUCAUAGCUUCCACCAUUUUUUUCUCAUCAUCGGAAGUGUGCUAAAAUCAAGGUUCAAGUCAUCAGGCAAAAAACUUCGGGUUUACGACACUUCUGCGACUUCAAUCUUCAUCUUCACCAUGUGGAUUUAUUCGAGAAUAUCCAAAUAUGAGGUAUGGUUUUUGUUAGCACUUUCUGAAUCCUUUUAAAGUAUAUAUAUAUAUAUAUAUAGAUAUAUAUAUAUAUAUAUAUAUUCUUAUUGUGCAUAGGAUUUAGAAAAAACCUAGGAUAGUGAUGCAUAUUCCUAACCUAAUCCGAACUUGGGAAACAGAAAGAUCCGACUUUUUCCCAUCAGGCUGUUUGACCUUUCCAUGUUUCCUAGAGUCACACCUUGACUGUUCGACUAUUUAGGUUUCCUAGAGCCACACUCUGAUUGUUCAAUAUUUCCGUGUUUCCUAGAGUCACGCCUUGACUGUCCGACUAUUUAGGUUUCCUAGAGUCACACCUUGACCGUCUGAACUUUCCGAGUUUCUCAGAAUCACACUUUGACUGUUCGACAUUUCCUAUUUAUGUUUCCUAAAGUUGUGCCUUGAUUUUCUGACUAUUUAGGUUUACUAGAGCCACACCUUAACUAUUCGGCCUUCUCUUGUUUCCUAGAGUCGCGCCUUGAUUAUCCGACUAUUUAGGUUUCUUAGAGUUGUACCUUGAUUGUUCGAUCUUCUCUUGCUUCUUUAGUGUCACACCCUUAUCAUCCGGUUUUUUCUUAAUUAUGUUUCCUAGAGUUGUACCUUGACUAUUCAACUUUUCCUUUAUGUUUCAUUUAGUGUUGUGCCAUGACUGUUUGACUUAUUUCAUGUAUUCCUAGAGUCGCACCCUGAUUUCCUUUUCUUUUUUCUUUCCAUUCUCUUGUUUACCCAUUCAUUCCCUCAUUUGAUGGCAUGGUUCCUAGUUUCACAUAAACAUCGUCACUGUCUCAUUUAGCAAAUCCUUCCUUGAGGUCUACGUGGAUGUUACAUGUUUCCUUACUAACAGAUCAAUGAGCACGUUUCGUAACUUUAGAGAGUUUGCACAGUAUUAAGACAAAUGUAGUGGUAUUUCUUAUUCUUUGACAAAACCCACUUCAUCUCACUUGUGAAUACACAUACUUUACUCGUGGACUCUACCGAAGAGGAGCAUACUUGUAGACCCCAAAAUUUGUCCAAAGUCUUUUUUAUUUUUAUAUUUUCAUUUUAUUUUCUUGUUAUUUUAUUUCUUUUCAUUUAUUAUUAUUAUUAUUAUUCAUUUUCUCUCCCCCAUUCACACCCACUUUCCUCAUCAUUUUUUUCUUUCCUCUUUCUCUUUCAUUUUCUCUCUUUUACUUCCUCACCAACACCAUACCCAUGACUCCCAUCCUCACCGUCGUCACUCUUCUCACCAUCGACCACUAAUUCGACCAUGCCACCCCAACCCCUUUCUAUUUCUCUCAUUCUCUUUCUCUAAACCCACCAUCACUCAACUCACCUAUCUCCAUCUCUAACACUAAUCUCCCUAUUUUCUCUCUCUCUCCUUCUUAAUCCCUUCCUAUGCUUCGACAAUGAAUUGGAGAAUUAGAGUAUCAUCCUCCAAAUGGGAUGAGGCUUCCCAUUAACACUUAGUUCGACUCUCACAAGACCAUCACCACCAUUCGUACCACAUCCAUUGCCUAGUUUUUCCUCUAGGGUUCUUCAAAACUUCGUAAGUUUUCUUCUUCUGAUUACUACAAUAAUUGUUUGUGGAUUUGGGCCUCUUUUUGGGCUUAGCUUUGGGUUUUGCAUAUAAGAUUUGGACCCUUGUUUAGUUUAGGCAUCCAUUCGAGUUAGGUUGUUGAUUUGGAUUAAGAUUAUUAGAUUAUUGAGUUUUGUUUUUGGGCCAUAAUUUGUUUAUACAUUUCAUUUAGGCUCUUUUUGUUGAAUUUUUGAAUUGAGCUAUUGGUUUAGAUUUAGGCUCAAGCCUUUGUUUACUUAUUGGGCUAUUACCAUCUUUGGUACAUGGGUUGUCACCCCCUUCUCUCUCUCUCUUUGGUUUUGUAUGGCUUGAAUGAUUGAGAUGUGACAAUUGGAGGCGAUGAGAUAGAUAGAGGCGAUAGAUUGACAGGACGACUUGAUGGGAAGAAAAAAAAAAACAACUUUGCAAGUUUUCAUGAUGAUUUUUGUUUGAGGCUUUUGGGCUAUUUAUUU